Molecule: long non-coding RNA, 58738 nt
Filed under: Glycine max (soybean)
Lineage: Eukaryota; Viridiplantae; Streptophyta; Magnoliopsida; Fabales; Fabaceae
Description: long non-coding RNA (GMAX_LNC004335)
Source: RNAcentral
CUCACUCCAGUCACCAUUGGCCAGGGAUUCCGAUUCCAGCUCCCAUCAUCUGAGUUUAAUCAUUUCUUUCCUUUUUUUUUCCUUGUUUUUUCAUCUCUUCUUUUUCAUUUGUUCUUUUUCCCUUCACAUUCUCAUCAUCUCUUCUCUAUUUUUCAUUCCCCCCUCCCCCUUCUCCGUUUUAUUUUUAUUCAAUUUUUGUCACCAUCUAUACUGUUUUUCUUGAUUUUUUCUUCUUUUUCUUUUAUUCAAUUUUUUCACCAUCUUGUUUUUUCCUCCUUUUCUUGUUUUCUUCUGUUCUUUUAAUUCAGUUUUUUUUAUCAUUUUUUCCCUUUUUCUGUUUUUCUCGUUUUCUUGAUUCUUUUUUCUUCUCUUUCUCACUUCUAGGACAUUUUUAGGUUAUAUUUAUCUUUUUUUUAGAGCUGUUAUGAGAUUUCCAUGUGUAUUAUUUCAUGGAAUAUAUUUUUAAUUUUUUUAUAUUUGUUUUAUUAGUUUAUAUUAUUUAUUAUUCUUUUGAAUUUUUCUACAUGUUAUAUAUUCUUUUUAAUUCAUAUUGUGGAUUUUUGGCUUUUCGCCAUGGACUGCCAUCCGCAAUUUAUAAUUUUUUGGUUGUAUAUGAAUUGUUGUGCAUAUAUCCAUCUGGUAAUCAAUUUAUUGUUGAACUAUCUUAAUUUUAUGGCUUUAACUCCUAAUUUCAAAAGAUAAUAUAUAUAUAUAUAUAUACUUAUAACUUGAUUUAAAGAUUAAUGAAUUAGAUUUUAGUAAUUCAUAAUUUAAUAUAAAUGUGGAUGUGUUUUAUUAUAAUCUGAAGCGUUGACUUAAUCCUUGGUUUUAACUUUUCACAUUGUCUUUGCAUUUUAAAAUAGCCAAAAUCUUAAUUUUAUUGACUUAAUUCCUGUAAAAAUGUUUGCUAUUGACAAUGUGUUCAUACUAUACUGUCCUUUCUGUUUUGAGUGAACCGUGGUUUGCUUAUGUUUUGUGCUUGUGAAUUUAUGUCCCGAAUCCUUAUACAUUCAAAACUUAUAUUCCCUUUAAUCUUUUUUAUAAGAUCCAUUUAACUAAUUUAUAAGAAUUAAGAAUUAAGGAUAACAUUAAAUAUGUUUAAUAUUUAUAUUUUUUGGGAUAUACUAUCUUUUUAGUCCUUAAACUUUUUAAAUUUUUUUUGUUUUUAAUCCCUAAAUUUAUUUUAUCUGCUUGUAGUCCUUAACUUUUGUUUUUUUUACUUUUAAUCCCUUGAGAGGACUAAAAGUAAGGAUAGAAAAAAGUUAAAAAACUAAAAAGUUAAGGGACUAAAUAUAAAAGAAAAUUAGGGACUAAAAACAUAAAUUUUAAAAAGUGUAUGGACUAAAAAGUUAAUUUAUCUUUUUUUUUUCUUUCAAAAUUACUCUUAAUAUUAAUGAAACGAAUAAAAACAUUAAUGGAUACUGAUCUAAUUGUUUGUCAAUAUAACCUUUCACUGCCAUGAUUUUUAUUAAGAGUAUUUCUGUAAAAAAUAAUUCUUAUAAAAAGGAUCAAACACCACUUUUUACUUUUAACUUGGGUAGAGGAUCCGGAGGGAGCAUAAAUAAUAUGGCAUGAGCAUAAAGACAUGAAUAAAACUUUGAAACCGUAGAUGAUGGCUGCUGAAAAAGGUUUUAUGUAUUUAUUUAUUGAUAUAUAUUUUAGGCUUAAAGAUGGUUUUGGUCACGGAAAAUAUGAUGGUUUUUAGUUUUAAUUAUAUAAAAAAUGCUGUUUUAAUCUCUACAUUUAACAAAAAUAUGGUGUCACUCGUCAAGAAUUAAAAGUACCUAACUUAUAAUUUGAAGACCUAAAAAUAAAUAAAAUUUUAAUAAAAGAUUAAAACAAAAAAGCCAUAUUUUAUAUGAGCCUCUGGUUUUCAUCUCUGCAGGUGGCAUGUUGGACCAGCCAUAUUGGUGUGCCUUCGUGCUUGAAGUGGGCCCCUCGCAGGGCCAUGUUCGCUGCUGCUUCAAGUGUUCUCACAUUUUGGAUACCCAAUAAUGAUUCAAAGCUGGAAACCCAGUAUGGUGGCACAGAUGCUGAAGCUGGACCUUAACCCUAACCACUUCUCCAUUAUAACUGAAUAUGCUGUUCCUCUCCCAGCCCAUCUACAAUUUUGUUUUGUUGUUGUAUCAAGAAACUAACUAACGCGUUGUGAAUUUGGUAAGCUAUACAUAGUUUUGAUACAUUUCAUGAAAAUUUUGAUGAUGCUCCAAGGAUGUUGUCAAUUGUAAAUCCCAUCACCAAAUGCAAUUUAUUUUAAAGUUUUAGCUACAUUGAGAAUGUUCUUUAUUGGUUAGACAAUAUUUUUCCCCGCUAGUAAUACUAGGGUCUUACACAUGUUAAAGACGUUUUAACAAGCUCACGUCCACAUUUUGUCAGAUAGUGUCGCUUUUUUACUAACGGGAGAGUUAAACAAAUUUUAAACUAUUUUAACCCACACAGCGGAGGUAUCUUGCGUCAAAGGCCUUUUUGAGUUUUGACUAUGGGUUUCUUUCCAGAAGGAUUUCUAGGAAUAAUUAAAAAUGAAAUGAAUUUUUCAUAAGAAAAUUUUCAUAUUUUUACUUAUUGUAAAAGCUCUUGUAUAAUAAUUUCUCUAAAAGAUGAAAAAAAAAAUUAGAACUUAGUUUGUGCAUAAGUUCAAAUUAACUUACGAAAAAAAAUCAUUUUAUUUCUUUUUCUUAGUUCUUCUAGAAAAAUUUACCCUAAUCAGACCCUAUAUAUUAACUGUUGUCAUUGAAGAACAAACGAAGCAAAUCUUUCCUAUUAGAUUUUUUGCAGCUCAAAGCUUCCUUUUGCUGAAAAAUGCUAUUGGCUGAUGUUAAUGGCGCAUCUUAGUUUGGAACUUGGUUAGUGAGUGCUGUACUGUUGAUAAAAUUUCAUGCUAGGUAAAAUCUGCUGCUAGUAAUUUGAUUUUCAAUAUGAUAAAAGAAUCUUCAACAAAGCACAGUUUAAAUUUCACCCUUGGUUUUGUUGCUUAAAACUUUGAUCAUCGGACGAGAAAGAUAGUAAUUUUACACAUAACCAACGCAAAACACAUUUGACAUUGAAUUCAACAAUGGAAGUGAACAAAUACAAAACACAUUGAUUUCCAGCAUCCAUAUACACUACAGAGUGGUAGUACCCCUUUUUUUGAGACACGAACGAACGUCCCUACUACUUAAUAACCAAAGCUAGACAACAAAACAAAACACACAAACCUACAUAGGCAAGAGGUACAUACAUCAUUUAUUUAAUUUCCCCAUAUAAACCACAUCACAACAACACAUUAAUGCUCCCUCUAAUAUCAGAAUUACUCAUCAUGCGGUUGCGGUUGUUGCUGUCACUGUUGUUCUCUUUACAUCCCUUGCCUCCACCUUUGCAUCCCUUGCAGCAGCUUCCCUUGCAUCCCUUGCAGCUGCCUCCCUUGCAUCCCUUGCAGCUGCCUCCCUUGUAUCCUGUGCCUUGCUCUGAAUAUCCUGCCCAACCUCCUUGGUCUUCUGCCCCACUUCCUUCGUCUUCUGCCCCACGUACUCCGCCGCCUCGGCGAGGUGAUGCUUCGCGGCGGCGGCGAGGUUCUCCGAGGCUGGCUGGGUCUCCCGGAUGUAGUUCAGGAUCCAGGAGAAGGAAGACAGCGCCGUGAGCCCGAAGGCCCCCGACGUCAGGAACCCGGCCACGGCCAGGCCGAUGGCGACCGUGGCUGGAACCAGCACCGGGCUGAAGAGGACGAAGAGCGGCGUGGCAACUGCCAGUCCGGUGAGGGUUCCUGCCAGGGUCAAUCCCGCCAGGAGGAGCAGGAUGCCACCGACCGGGAGGCCGGCGAGGACGGCGAGGACCUGGGAAGUCGUUGGACCUCUCUCGGAAUGGUAAAUGGAGGGCGCUUUGACGCCGGCUUCAUAACGCGGCGGUUCGAAACGGGCUCCGGGGGGGACGACGCCAGCUUCGUAGCGGUGUGUUGUUGUGUGGACUUGGACACUGUGUGGUGGUACUUGUGUGGUCAUGGUUGAAGGUGAAGUUUAGGGUUUUGCAAUGAAGAUGAUGAUGCAACAGUGCUGCAAGUGAAGGAAUUGUUAGUGGGGUGUGUGUUAGAGAGGGAGAGUGUGACGGGGGUGUUGUUAUAUAGCAAAAGUGGAGUUGUUGGGUGAUGACACGUACAUGAUACAUGGUGAGUAGGGGCUUUGCAUGAGGAACAGGUUUCAGUUUGCCCUCGGUUUAGUACAUCAGAAAAAUUAAAGUGGGGUACAUAAAUUAUGACAGACAAAUGAGAAUAAUAUACUUUUUAACAUUUUUAUUAAGGACAGUUGGGAUACAGUUUCGCAGGUGGUGUUGGUGGUAUUUUUCAUCAUAAUUGGAGUUUUACUUCACAAAAUCUGCAUUAGCAUUUAAUGAAAUUAGUUUGUAACCCGUGCAUCGUUUGUAAAUUUUUUUGCAUAUAUAUUUAUUUGUUUUGUAAAGUAAAAAUAAAAUGAAAAUUAAUGUGCAAAUUAAAAUAGAUUAAACAUUGAUAAUAUAUUUACAUAGUAAAUAAAUUGUUCAGAAAAGCAAGAAAGAUAAACACUAUUAUCAAGAAGUAUCAGUUUAACAUUCCAAAUUUAUUCACUGUCAUUGUCAUCCCAGUCUUUCCUGCGGCGGCGGAUGAUAAUUUUCCAUAUUUUAUCAUGUCUGUAAUAGAAGGAAACCUCAUCGUCGUGGGAGAAAUCACUGUCGGCAAGGAAUUGAUACCAUGGUUGUAUAACAUAUCUGUGACCAAUUCCAAUGUCAAGGAGCACAACAUUCCACUGCAGUGGAGGUCCAAAUUUUCUAAGGAUUGUCAUGUGUUGGCCGCAGGCAUUAACAUGUGUAAUGACACAAUUUGGAAGUCUCUGCAAUGAAAAAAAAAUAGUCUUAUAUAUAAACAAGAAUUUGUAUAAGGAACAAAGAACAACUUUUGAUGGUUACCAGCGGUUGGGGUGCACCAAGCAUCGACUGGGUGAUUUCAAUUGUCCAAAUAUGCUCUCUUGAGAUCAUUCGUGGUCUUCUGCAGGUCUGGUGCUCUCUUGAGAUCAUUCGUGGUCUUCUGCAGGUCUGGUGCACCAAGAAGUGAAUGGUGAUAGAUUCAUAAAUUGCUAAAUCUUUUCUGAACUGGUUUAGUCCCUCAGCAAAGUAUACUUUUUGCCGAUGCUGUCUUAGUCUAAUUUGGUAUGAUGUUCCAUCAUAUCUGAAAUGGACAAAGUCAGGGUAUUCUGGUGCCCAUUGUUGGUGGUAAAAAGAAGGCACCACUAUGGUGUCCUGCAAAAAAACAUAGUAAUAAAAAGAAAAUGAAACUGCACGAAUGAAAGAACAAAAAAAACCAAAGAGUGGGCAUAUAAGAUUACCCAAUUGUUGUGGAAUGGUGUUGUGAACUGCAUGAUUAAUGGUUUUUUGUUAACCAGAUAUUGAAUCUGCAGUGAGAUAGAAUGGAAAAAAUAAGAUAAAAUAUGGUACUGAAAGAUAAUAUUUUAAAAUAUAUGGACAAUGACAACAACAUAAUAAAAUCAAUGAAUGUAUCAUGCCAUGAAGUGUAUUAUGCAAUUAAUGUUGAGAGUGAUAGUCAUGGUUAAGUUUGCAGGUUUUAUAAAGUGUAUUCUGCAAAUAAAGAUUGAGAUGUACACAGGCUGUUGGGAUGAAGUGGCAUUCAGUUGGAAUGUAGGUUUAAGAAUCAAAACAAAAAAGCUAUGGCAAAGUUUUGGGAUUGUUUUGGUUUGGGACAAAGCAACAAUCUUAAAAUUUGCUGCCCUAUGUCUGUUUUUUGGUUUGGUUACAUGUUAGAUUUCUCAUAUGAUAAAAUAGAGUAGGAACAAUUAUUUUCUUUUCUAACAGAAGCCAUCCCAGACAACUAAUACUUCGUAGAUUAGUUAAUGGUUAAAUUAAGUUAGUGAUUGGUUUGAGAGUAGUUUUUUAUGCUGGUAUUGUGAAGUAGGAACUUCAGUCCAACCAAUAUUUCUACUAUCCUGUUAUUCAUAGAGUGAUGAACUAUUGUAUAAACUUUUGCACACUGCCAUUUUUGAUUCUCCUAAAACUCUCGUUAUUCCUAUUCUGUAUAUUAUAGGUAUGAAGUAGGAACUUCAGUCGAGUCAAUAUAUCAAGUUUUGUCAUACUUCUAUCACAUAUGAUUUGUGCUGCAAGUAAAAAUUUUUGGUCUAGAAUUACAAUGUGCAAUUAUUUAUUAAGAUGACAAAUCAAUAUAGAUCCAAAUGUGGAAGUCAAGCAACAUGAUUGUCAAAAUCAUAAGCUACACCUAAUAGGACAAAUCCCUAAAAAACAAUACCUAGGAUGAAGCAGUUCUGAACUCAAUUUUGUUCCCUUUGGUCAAUAUAGCCAUUUUAUUCGGUGAUAAAAAACAUAAAUUGAUUAGUCUCAAAUUUAUAGUUUAGAUAAAUUAAAUUCAUUUUUGCCCUAAACGAAAGGGAACUCUAAUUAAUUUAUAUAUGGCUAUAUCAGUUCUUCAAUAUCAGUUAUUAAUAAAUUGUAAAAAAAUAAUGCAAUGUGGAUUUAAUGUUGGGGAUUCUAGUAGGUGUAUAUUUUAUCUAAUUUCUAUCCAUCAGUGGCAUAUUGCAAAUUAGAACCGAUUUUAUAGUACUAUAUUGCAGAUUAAUAUCAAUAAACAGAAGAAACAAAAAAUAAUUCCCUAUUUUUUGUAUGGCAGUCAAAGGAUAACAAAACAAAAUUUUCAGUGCUUAUUCAUAUGUUGUUUGUUGUUUAAUUCUAAAGUCAAAGUUAAUAAUAUCAAUCAGUCAAAAUGUAUCCGUGCAUGCAUUGAAAAAAUUAACUAACGAAGAAGUUUUGGUUUGAUGUAUAGAACAAAAUAGUAGGAGAGAAAGAAAACCUAAGUAUGUACUGACAAAAGAAACGCAUAACUUUGGGAAUCCGGAUGAUGAGUUUCAUCACAGUACCAUAUUUACACUUAAAAUUUUAACAAAACAAAGUAAAAUAUAGUUAACGGAAUUUGAAUAUAUAUUCUAAAUAAUUUUAGACUUGCCUUGCUUAAAACAGAUGAUGAGUUUGAACUCAUGGUUGUCUCACUUGAACUGGAUGAUGAGUCUGAACUCAUGCUGGCAGUCGUCUGAGUAUUGUUUUUUUUCGAAAACGAAGGAGGAGUAGAUGGCCGGAGAAGAAACGCUGUUUGGAGAAGAAGUGUCGGACUGAUGCAGUGGUUGGUGAAAACGUGUAGCUGGUGGCAUAUGAAUGAAUUUGGGAAUUAUAGAGCAUUGAAUGAUGGCUUAGAAGAUUGGACGUAGAGAGUGAUUUGAAUCAUCAUGAAUGUAUCUCUGGUGUUGCAGGCAGUUGAAGUGUCUUUUUUUGUUGUUGAAUGUCACAACCAAUAUUGAUAUUUAUAAAAAUGCAGGGAAAAAUGUAUCACAAAAAAUCAUCAUAAUUAUUUAUUUGCCAGAACAUAUAUUCAACAUUAAUGGUCUCAGCAAAGCAAUUAUACAUAUUCUAAAUAUAUAAUUUCAGAAGAAAUUUUUUUCAUGAAUAAUCAAUUUUUUUUUACAAAAUUAGUUGAUUGUUUAACUAUAUAUACACAUAUAUAUAUAUACAUAUAUAUAUAUAUAUAUAUAUAUAUAUAUAUAUAUGUAUGUAUGUAUGUAUGUAUGUAUGUAUGUAUGUAUGUAUAUCAAUGUUUUAAAAUAUUCGUGUGAGCUGCCGUUGAUUAUAAUAUUUUUUUUAUCAAUGCAUGUUAGGGGCAAAACAAAAAACUAAUUAGUGUUACUUAAAAUGAACGAAUUAGUAUUACAAGUAAUAAGAUUUUUUAACGAUGGGCAUUAAUCAACGUUGCACGUUUGGUAGUGCAAGAUUAAUGUUUGUUGUGCUUAAUAAUUUAUGUGGGGAUAAAAAAGAAAUUAUUUGUCAUUAAUUUUAUGGAUUAGAGGCAAUACAUAUAUGAAUAUAAAGUAGUUGAUUUGAGCAAAGUUUAAGAAUUUAUAAGUGGUCCACUAUGUAUCUUUAAAAUCAAGCAAAAUAGAUGCAAUUCAUAAGUUGAAUCCAGUAGUAUAAAUUGCAAUAGAAAGAUUUUAAUGUAGAAGAUGAUAUUAUGUACCUCAUAAUAUAACAUUUGACACUGGCUCAUAUGAUCCUGUAUCUAGCUGCAUAUCAGAGCAUUUUUGAGUAAUUGUUAAAUAAAGUAUUAUUAGGAAUACAAACUAACAAUUGUGUUAGGGAAAAAAUUAUAUUAACCUUGUUAGAUUAUUGAAGACCUCUUUGAAAACUACAUUGGUGGUAGAAGUCAUAUUUGUUUGGUCUUUAUCAUGGAUCAAAAUUUUUAAGCCUUUCUUUGUUUUGACCCUUGAUAAUGCAACAUAUAAUUGACCAUGGCUAAAAACUAGUUUUGGAAAAUAAAGUCCAACUGUGGACAGUGAUUGUCCUUGAGAUUUGUUAAUUGUCAUUGCAUAAGACAACAUGAUUGGAAAUUGUCUUCUUAAAAGUUUAAAAGGCCAUGGUGAUUGUGGAGGGGACAUGGACAUUCUUGGAAUGUAAACCAUAUGGCCUGAAUUUUUGCCAGAAAUGAUUUCAGCCGCAAUUACAUGCUUUGCCAAUCUUGUAAUUAUUAAUCUAGUGCCAUUACCCAAGCCUUGAGUUUGGUCUAAGUUCCUUAAAAGCAUUAUAGGAGUUACUAUUUUAAGCUUGAUACAAUGAUUUGGCAGGCCAGAUGUCAUCAAUGAAUUAAGGAAUUAAGUAGUUAUUGUUUGAAAAUGACAGCUUUCAAUGGUUUUUGAUUUGUCUAUAGAGUCAAACCUUAGGUAUUCCAUGUGUUCAACUAUGAUAAUUUUUGUAAUUAGUAUGACAGUUGUAAAGUUAAAGAUCUCUCCAAAAUAGCAGAAACAUUAAAUAGAUAAUAAUAUUUAAAAAUUGGUAAUUAAGCAGGGCUAAUUUAGAUAGAUGUAAUACCAAUUACAUUAGUGAUUCUAUGAUUACCUGGGAUUAAUGAUAGUAUAUAAUCAUUGACCUGUUCAACUGUUUCGUUGGUUGAAGCUAAUAUUGCCCUACUGUUGAAGAAUUGAGGAUCAUUGUGAUGCUGAGAUAAAUCUGGGAACGUUGAGUUAACUAUGGCAUGGAUUGGAUCAUCAUAUUCAAUUAUCAACAGGUCCUCAGGGAUUUCAAUUGUGGAAUAGCCAUCAUUUUCAUGUCCAAUAAUUCUAUCUCCAAUGUCUAGGAUCCACUUAGCAAAUGCGACAGUUUCUUGUUCAUCUGGUGAUUGUACAUUGUUCUGCAAACACAUGUUUUUUGUCAAUCUUAAGACCUGACAACAAUCCCAUAAAUAAGAGGAAUUGAUUGAGCGACUUCCCCUUGGAAUGACUGACAAUAUUUGUCGGAAGUCCCCACCAAAUACCAUGACUUUACCUCCAAAUAUUUGAUUUGAACUGGGUUUAGUUUUACUUAUAUCUCUUAAACAUUGGUCAAGCGCUUCAAAACAAAAUUUGUGAGCCAUUGGUGCUUCAUCCCAAAUAAUUAGGCUUGUUUGAUUUAGCAAUUCAGUUAAUUCACUUCCUUGAUGAAUGUUGCAUGUUGAGUCUUUAAAAAUGGGUACAGGUAUUUUGAAUUUUGAAUGUGCAGUCCUGCUGCCUGGCAACAAUAGAGAAGCUAUGCCGUUGGAAGCAACUAUAAUAACAAUUUGAUUGUUUGCUCUCAAUGAAGUUUCCAAUGUUCUCCAUAUGAAGGUUUUUCUUGUACCUCCAAAUCCAUAUAGGAAAAACAUGCCACCUUGAUUUUUGUUGACGACUUCAAUGAUUUGGUUAUAAAUUGAUGUUUGUUCAUCUAUAAAUAUGUAUUAGCUUAUGUAAGACACAAAAGAAGAACAAUUCAAAUUCAAAUUGGAAAGGUAUAGCACCUAUUAUGGAUGAAAAAAGUUGCAGAAAUUCUGAUCUAGUCUCAUCAUUGUUGUAAUUUAGCUAUGCUAAUAUCAGGCUAUUGUCUAGAUAGGACGUGAAGUAAGCAUCCUCAGGAUAUGGCAUUAAAGGAUAGUCUUUAAGUGAUUUUUGGUUUACAUGCAGCAGGUGUUCAAUCUCGAGCAAUGCCAAAUUACUCAGAUGAUUGUCAUCGAUAUGUAAUUCUAACACAUUAGACGUUAUUAGUCAAAUUAUGAUUAUGGUUGAUGCCAUCUAAUGUAAAUAUUAAUCAAACAAAACGAACUUGUAUUUAUUGUUGAUUUGCUAUAAUGAUAUGCAAUGCCAUCAGCUAACCAAUGCCAAGUUUGGUUCCAAACUUCUUCAGGAUUAUUGAUGGCACCUGUUAAAAGCAUCAACACAAAUAAUUUCCUCAAAUAAUUAGUUGUGCCCCAGUCCUUUUCCUCUUUGGUUGCUUCAACGAAUUCUCUGUCAUCUUGUAAAAACCCCAUGGCAAAGCAUGCUUCUCUGUAUGUAGGGUAUUGAAUAUUUGUAACAGUUCUAAUAUCCUCAAAUGAAGUUGUUUCCUUGCAGGCAGUAAGCAUCAUCCUCAAAUAAAACAAUUCUCUUGUCAUUGGUGGGACCCAUAUAAGCCUUCCAAUAGUGUAUCCUUUCUUUCUAAGGUGCCAUGAUCUAGUCUUUUGAUUAUAUACAAACUUUGAAACGAAUUCUGAAUAAGUCAGAGUUCUUCCUUCUGAAAAACAUUUGUUGGUGUUAGUCGUCUUUUACAACUAACUUUUGUAUGGAAAAGUUUUCCAAAAUGUAUAUAUUUUCCCCAAUUUAUGGUUCUUUUUGUAGGAUUGUAAAUAAUUCUUGUUUAGUUUUUAUUUUUGCUAAGUAGAGACCUUCCUCAUGGAAUUAAUGUAAAUUUCACUUCAAUUUUAGGUAAAAAAGAGAAAUUUUGGAAAGUGCUGAAGUUCCUGUCUCGCUAAGCCUGGUCCAUGCGCUUAGCGAGAUUCAUCCGCUAAGUGGGACAUCAGCCCGCUUAGCGAGUAAGAGGAAUCUUGGAGAGAAUUUGCCUCGUCAGCAUGUGCUCAGCGCGUCACCAAGUAACCCAACGAUAUUUUUGUCUCUUCUUGCGCUAAGCGCGCCAGGCUCACUGAGCCAAAAUUUACAUACUCACGCUAAGCAUGAAAGUGGAGCUAAGCGCACCUUCGAGGACAUAAAACCCUUUUUAAGCAUGAAGUGAAGAAAAAGAAAGGGGGUCUGAAUAGACUGAGAGCUUGGCAGAAGAACAAAAGCGAAAAGCAGAGUAAGGAAGCAAAAACCUUAGCUUUUAGGAGAAUUUUAGGUUUAGGAGUAAUUUCUAGGUUUCUAGAGGUAGAGGAGAAAUCCCCACUACUUUGUAAUCUGAUAUUUUCUCUAAAACCCUUCUCCUGCUUGUGAAAGGUGCUCCCUUGUAAUGGAGGCGUAAAAUUCUUUGUUGGGAAAUUCUGCUAAGUACUUGAUGUAAAUACUUAUCAUAUCUAUUUGAAGUUGUUUUUAUGUGUUCGUUGUUUUUAUCCAUGCUUAAUUAUCGCAUGCUUGUGGCUUGAUCACCCAUUUGUAUGUGCUGUUAGGAGCUUUAGCAUUGGAAAAUGUAUUGCAUCCUUAGAACUGGAUAGAACAGGGCUAGGUUAUCGUAUAAUCUGGACACGGAGUGUGGUAAUUUAAUUUUUAUUAUGCUGUAGUCGUAACACUGUUCGGUUAGGCUAAGUUCAAUAAGAGACAUCUGAGAAUGAAGCUUAAUUAGAAUUAGUCCAAACUCACGAGACAUCGGUGUUUGGUAUUUUAGCUCUCAGCAAAGAACACAAAAAAUAAAUUUGAAUAGAGAAAUACAUUUAAUUACAUUAAGUAUCUCAAUAGGAGGACCCAACGCUUUUACAUAUCUGUUUUCACAUCCACUUGCUCAUAUUUACUGUUUUCAAUUAGAAUAGAAAUCACUUUUGUUUUUAAUUCAUGAUAAUCAAUUCUUUGCACAAAUGUCUGCCUAUUGAAUGAUGCUUUGCCAAAUAAAACAAGUUCCCUGAGUUCGAUACUCGGUUCUUACCAUUUUAUUAUUACUUGCACGACUCGGUACACUUGCCGGUGAGAUUUACGUAUCCAUAUUAACAAGUAACACCGGGGUGUAAACAAGUUUUUGGUGCCAUUGCCAGGGAACUUCUUUCUAUUUGGAAAGUUUAGUUUAAUUGGUAAGCAUUGAUUCUUUAUUCUUUGAUUGUUUGUUAGUGUGAAUAUUUAGUUAGUUUUUCAACAUUUGUUUUCUCUUGGAUUGGUUAACUACUGUUUCUGUUAGUGUUUUGUAUUCGUAGAUCCUCUGCAGGUGAAUUGGUCCCAUUAGAUUUGGAAAUUGAAGCAGCUUGCAGAAGAAACAACGCAGAGAGGAGGAGAAAACUUUUAUAGGACAGGACAAUAGCUUUCAUCCUUGAAGAGGCUCAAUCUUCUGAGCCAUCAUCUUCAAAUUCUCCAUCAACAAGGGAAUCCACCACUGCAGUGCCUAAAGCCGACAUUAUGGCUGAAGAGCAACCAAGGAGGGUGACCCUUGAAGAUUAUUCUAGCAUCGCUGUGCCACAGUUCUUUACAAGCAUUGCAAGGCCAGAGGUGCAGGCCCACAAUAUCACAUAUCCACAUUCUUUGAUUCAGUUAAUACAAGGCAAUUUGUUCCAUGGUCUACCCAAUGAAGACCCAUAUGCACACUUGGCAACAUAUAUUGAGAUAUGCAACAUUGUCAAGAUUGUCGGUGUGCCAGAAGAUGCUAUUCGGCUCAGCUUAUUUUCAUUUUCAUUAUCUAGAGAAGCCAAGAGGUGGCUGCAUUCAUUCAAAGGUAAUAGCUUAAGGACUUGGGAUAAAGUUGUGGAAAAGUUUUUGAAGAAAUAUUUUCCUGAGUCCAAGACAACAGAGGGAAAAGCUACAAUUUCUUCAUUCCAUCAAUUUUCCGAUGAAUCUUUGAGUGAAGCUUUAGAACGAUUCCGUAGCUUGCUGUGGAAGACCCCCACACGUGGAUUCUCUGAGCCUAUACAAUUGAACAUCUUCAUUGAUGGGUUAAGGCCACAGUCGAAGCAGUUACUAGAUGCUUCUGUAGGAGGUAAAAUUAAAUUGAAGACUCCUGAAGAAGCAAUGGAGUUAAUUGAGAAUAUGGCUGCUAGUGACCAUGCAAUCUUGCGUGACAGAACACAUAUCCCCACCAAAAGGAGUUUAUUGGAGCUGUCAUCACAAGAUGCUUUGUUGGCUCAGAAUAAGUUGCUGUCCAAGCAGCUUGAAGCUUUAACUGAAACAUUAAGUAAGUUGCCAACUUAGCUUUCUGCUAGUCAACCUUCACCUUCUUCUGUUUUGCAGGUUGCAUGUUGUGCUAUUUGUGGUGGUGCUCAUGAGUCAGGCUGCUGUAUUCCCACUGAGGAUCAUGCACAUGAAGUUAACUACAUGGGAAACCAACCUAGACAAAAUUUUAAUGCAAGUGGAUUCUCAGGAUUUCAGCAGGGCCAAAAUUAUAACUAGUAGUAUGGACAGUGGAGAGCUCAUCCUGGUAAUCAAUUCAACAAAGACCAGGGAGGGCCAUCUAAUAGGCUGCAACAACAAGGGCAUAAUCUCUACGAGAGGACAACAAAGCUGGAAGAGACUCUUGCUUAGUUUAUGUAGGUUUCAAUAUCAAAUCACAAAAGCCCUGAGUCGGCCACUAAAAAUUUAGAGAUCCAGGUGGGGCAGUUGGCCAAGCAAAUUGCUAACACUUCUUCCAACAAAUUUGGAGCAAACACAGAGAACAAUCCCAAGGAAGAGUGUAAAGCUGUGAUGACCUGAGGUAGGAUGGCAACAAUGGCUGAAGAAGAGAAGGACGAGAAGAUAGUGGAUGGAGAUAAACAACAACGAGAAAGUGAACCAGCACUUGAACCAGUGGACCCUUUUUGUGAACUUGAGGAAGUGGAAGAUGAGGAGGAUGACCAAGAGGAUGAGACACCAAUAAUUUUGAGUGAGAAAGAAAUAAAGGAUGAGAAAAAGAAAGAAAAAGAAAAAGAAAGAGAAAGAGAAAAAGAAAAAGAAAAAAAUGAAAAAAAUGAAAAAGAAGAAAAGAAAGAAGAGAAGAAAAAGAGUAAGAGUGAGCUUGCUGGAGAGAAAAAGAAAGAGGUAGCUCUAGCUGAAGGGAGAGAGGUGCCAUACCCAUUGGUACCCUCAAGGAAGGAUAAAGAGCGUCAUCUAGCUAGAUUUCUUGAUAUCUUCAAGAAGCUAGAAAUCACUAUGCCCUUCGGAGAAGCUCCACAAUAGAUGCUGCUCUACUCUAAAUUUCUAAAGGAUAUGCUAACCUGAAAGAGCAAGUACAUACAUAGUGACACCAUAGUUGUGGAAGGAAACUGCGGUGCUAUUAUCCAAUGCAUCCUCCCACCUAAGCAUAAAGAUCUAGGCAGUGUCACUAUUCCUUGCUCGAUCGGUGCAGUUUCAGUGGGAAAAGCUCUUAUUGAUUUAGGAGCAAGUAUUAAUUUGAUGCCACUCUCAAUGUGUCGGAGGAUAGGAGAGCUAGAGAUAAUGCCCACAUGAAUGACUUUGCAGUUAGCAGACCACUCCAUCACCAGACCGUAUGGAGUUAUUGAAGAUGUUCUUGUCCAAGUCAUACACUUUACCUUCCCUGCUGAUUUGUUGUGAUUGACAUUGAGGAGGACGUUGAGAUCCCUCUUAUCUUGGGGCGUCCAUUCAUGUCAACUGCUAGCUGUGUAGUAGACAAGGGGAAGAAGAAGUUGGAGAUGGGAAUUGAAGAUCAAAAGAUAAGAUUUGAUCUAUUUGAUGAAGAGAAACAACUUCUAGACCAGAAUGUCUGCUUGAAGGUGAAGGAGUAUGGAGAAGAGAUUCUGAAGGAGGGAACCAAGUUUGAUCCAGACCCUUGAAGACCGAUGCAUCAAGCUAGUGACAUUAAAAGAGCGCUUUCUGGGAGGCAACCCAACCCUUUGUAUUUCAUUGCUGUUUUUCAUUGCAUUUAGUUAUAGCUUGCUGUUUGUGGUUGCAUGAAACAUUCAUCAGCAUGUUUUGCAUUGAAAAAGGGGUUGACAAGUUUUUAUUAAGCAGUGGAUGAAAAAUAACUUAGAAAAUUUUUCAGUAGUCCACUCGCUAAGCGUAUUACUCGCGCUAAGCGAAUCUGUCUUCAUGCGCUAAGCGAGCUGUUGCUUUUGCUAAGCGCUGCGACCCCUAUUUUUUGGCUGAAAGGGUCUCACUAAGCCCAAAAACUUCUCUGGAUUUUAAUUUUUUUUGAAUUGGGCUAAGCGCAACUGCUCGCUAAGCGCAAAUACUUCUCUGGAAUUUCAUUUAUGAGCAUUGCGCUAAGCGAGGCACCCCGCUAAGCGAGACCCACUCACUGCAUUUAAGGAGUAUGUUAUUUGCUAAGUGCGGCCUAUGGUCCGCUAAGCGUGAGUUGUAGGCCAAUCAGAGCUGCAGAACUCGCUAAGCGCGUAGCUUCGUGCUAAGCCCAAAAACUUCUCUGGAAUUUAAAAUUUUGAAAUUUUUGAAUUGGGCUAAGUGAGCAUGCCCGCUUAGUGCAUGAGUUUGGAAACUCAAAUGUCAUUGCAUGCUCGCUUAGCGAGUUGACAUGCUAAGCGAGGCAGUCCAAACUGCCAAAAAGCAAUAAGGCGUAACUGCCCUAGGAAGUUACAUUUUAUGCCUUUAAGUGCAUUUCUUCUCCCAUUCAUUGCCAUUUUCUCUGCGCUGUGCUCUCAACUUCCUCGUUGCCUGUAUCCUUGCUCCCUUUUUGCUUUCAUCUUCAGCAAUCCAAGUAAGCCUUUUAACUUGCUUUUAGUUUCAAAGUUUUAAACUUUAGGUUGGUAAAGUUAGUUUACUAUUUAAAGCUUUGAUUUUUGUUGUGAUUACAUGAUGAUAGGUUAGUUGUUAGUUAGAACAGUGUUAGGGGUUUUGAUUCGCAUACAAUGUACGUCAUUUUGACAUGUUUUGGUUAGUAUUUGAUGGCCCAAUAGAGGACUAUGUUGAGGGGCUAAAAAGCCCCAAGUUUUUUUGGAAAUCUCGAUGAUCUCGCUAAGCGCGCCUGUGCGCUAAGCGAGUUCAUAAGUUUUUGUUGAAUAUCUGGAUUUCCAGAUGAAUUCGCUAAGCCAUUCCUUAUGCGCUAAGCGAGUUCAUCUUCUCUGAUGAUGAAUGUUAUGUAUGAACUUGCUUAGCCGACAUUCCGCACUAAGCUAGUUGAUGUGUUUUCAGACACUUAGAAAAUUUUUUGUUUUGCUGUUGGUGGCCAAGCGAGUCCUCUCGCUAAGCCAUUUAGCCCAGUUGGCUGAAUAAGCCUAGGCUAAGCGAGCAUGUCUCACUAAGCCCAAGGCAAUUGUGUUUUCUGAAUGUUUUGUCAUGCGCUAAGCACGCCUUACCGCGCUAAGCGCAAUUUCUUUCCUGUUUUGUAAUUUUUGGAAUUGGGCUUAUCGAGCCUGCUCGCUAAGCCAAUUAUUCUCUAGUAUUGUUGUCGCGCUAAGGGCACCGUAUGCGCUAAGCGCAAAUUGUUUUCUGUUUUGGAAUUGGGCUUAGCGAGCCAAUUAUGCAGUAGAGUAGUUUUCUGUGUUAACUCGCUAAACGCACCUCGAUCGCGCUAAGUGUAUGAGUUAAUUUUCAUAAGUCGUGCUAAGCGAAUCCAUCUCGCUAAGCGCCUAGUUUAAAUUUCAGAUUUUUUUUUGCUUUCUAAUUUGAAUAAAUACCUGUCUAAUUUUGUGUCUUUGAUUUUUUUGAUGUAGAUGGCUUCCAAGAAAUGAAAGGCUAAAGCUUCCAGGCCUCAGGCCAAUUAUGGCAUAACCAGAUUUACAUCCGAAGCUGCUUGGAAUCAUUAUGCAGAUAAUGUUCUUGGUCAGAAUAUUCUUUCGGAAAGAAAUUUCAAGCUGUUUGUGACUGAAUACGAUGAAUUUAGAAGAGAAAUUGAGAGCAGAAACUAGCACAUGUAGCUGACUAACUUGACCGAGGGGAGCAUGGAUGUGGCUUUAGUGAAAGAAUUUUAUGCUAAUAUAUAUGACCCGGAGGAUAAAUCUCCAAAACAGGUUAGGGUUAGAGGUCACUUGAUAAAAUUUGAUGUUGAUUCCCUCAAUACCUUCCUGGAGACUCCGGUGGUUCUAGAGCCAGGGGAGAGCCUUCCCACAUAUUACAGGUUCUGCAAACUAUAGCCAGGUCCUCAGGAGUUGGCUGCCCGACUAUGUAUCCCUGACAGGGGAUUUGUUCUGAAUGCAGAGGGCCUGCCAUUGAAGCUUCUGAGGAAGGACCUCUCUACUCUGGUGCAAACCUGGAGUGUCUUGUCCUACUUCAACCUUGCCCCUACAUCACAUACAUAUGAUUUGAAUCUGGAUAGGGCAAGGUUGGUGUAUGGACUUGUCAUGAAAUGGAUAUGGAUGUUGGAGAUCUUAUUUCUAGACAAAUAUCUUUGAUAGCUCAGUCCAACUCCUCUCGGCUAGGAUUUCCAGCUAUUAUCACUGCUCUAUGCAUGGACAGAGGAGUCACCUCAGACUCGUUGACUUUCGAGACUCUCAGCCUAGCCAAUAAUUUGGCGUACAUCAAGAAGAAUUGCUGGAACCUGGAUGAUCCUUCGGUCAGCUUCCCAGGGACCUGCAAGGCCCGGGCCAGAGGAUCUGAGGGUCCAUCUUCAUCUGCUCCCCAGGACUCUACUGAUGCAAUCCUCCCUAGGAAGGGACCAGUCACUAGAGCCAUGAGCAAGAGGCUCCAAGAGGAUUGGGCUAGAGUUGCUAAAGAAGGCCCUAGGGUUCUUAUAAACCUCAGGGUAGAUUUCUGAGCACAUGGGCCAAUGUUGGGUCCAAUUAUCUUUGUACAUAUUAGACUAGGAUGUCAUUAUAUUUGGUCCUUGUAUUUAGGGCUCUAUAAUAUAGGUAGGGUACCCUAGAAAUAUAGGAUUUUUUAGCCCUUGUAUUUUAGGACACCUAGACUAGUUUUUGUAUUAGAGGUAGUUUUGUAAUUUCACAUGCACUAAGUGAAUAUUUGAUGUGUGUAGUUAGAAAUAAAUUUAAUUGAAUUGGUUGAAGCCCAAUCCAAUUAAAUUUUAGAGGGGGAGGUGAGCAUUUGCUUACUACACCCCAUUGCCACAUCAUAUAGUCACACUUUGUGCAUGUCCUUCAUGCUUUACAUGCCUCAUGACUAGGGGUGGGAAUAGGCUAGGCCGGCCUACAGGGGCCUACGACCUGGCCUACAUAAAGUCUGGCUUGGCCUGAGCUAUUUAAUUAAAAGGCUAGGCUCAGGCUUUUUUAAAAGCCUAUUAAAUUAAAUAGGCCAGGCUUAGGCUUAUUAAAAAGCCUUAUAAGCCUGAUAGGCCGGCCUAUAUAUAUAUAUAUAUAUAUAUAUAUAUAUAUAUAUAUUAUUUUUUGGGUACAAUUAAUAUUAUUUUUUAAAAAAACUAGCAGAUUUCAUUCUUAUAAUUAAGUAAAAUUUUAAUUACAAGGUGUGAGUUUCUUUAUAUUUCUCAUUAUUUUUAUUAGUUUUCUUAUUUCUGUUAACAGUUCCUUUUUCUAUUCCUAUUAGGUUUCCUUUAUUCUAGAGCAACUAAAAAUCAUAUCCUACAUUCUUAUACAAAAAUCAUAUCCUAUUAUGUUCCUAUACAAAAAUCAUAUCCUAUCAUAUCCUAUUACGUUUCUAUACAAAAAUCAUAUCUUAUCUUAUAGUGGAUAUGGAGGAGCUAAUGAUGAAAUGACGUUACUAUUAAUUUUAUUGGUAGAUAUUUUAUGCACCGAUUCUGUUCAAAUAGAAUGGAGAUGUAGGCUUUAUUUUUUUAUUGUAAUAAUUAAUAUGUUGGUUUGAUAGACUUGGAUGAUACUACCUCAAGUAUGAGGUUUUCUUUUGUUUUAGAUUAUUUUAUAUCAUUUGGUGAUUUCUGUUUGUAUUAUUAAUAUAUUUUUAGGACCACCAACUAAAUUAACGUUAGAUUAAAAAUUAAGGCAAAUUAUAUAUUAAGGCCUUGUUUAGCCUAUUAUAGAAGGUGAGUUAUUUUAUUUUUUUUUGGUAAAAACAACUAGGAAUAUUAAAGAUUUAAUGUGAAGAAGAUUUUUAAAUAGGCUUUUAAAUAGGCUACCAGGCCAGGCUAGGCUUUUAAAAAGGCCAGACCGAGCCAAAAUAAAAGCCUUUGAUAGGCUAUAGGCCAGGCUCAGGCCUCAAAAAUUAAUCAUAGGCUAGGCUCAGGCCUUUUAAAGCCUGGCCUGGCCUGGCCUAUUCCCACCCCUACUCAUGACACCUAAGCACACUUAGUGGAGAAUCUUGGAAUUGAUCUUGGAUUAGUGGGCUGAACCAUAACUAAAAUUCACUAAUCAUAAUUAGUGAAAUUUUGGCUCCAAAGUUUGGCUCCACAAAUUCAAUUUCAAAUUCAAGUGAAAUUUGAAUUGAAAUUCAAAUUUCCCUCCAAUUUUGUGUGACACUUAGGCUAUAAAUAGAGGUCAUGUGUGUGCAUUUUUUCAACUUUGAUCAUUUAAAUAUUAAACUUCAAAUUUUAAAGCUUUUUUAGAGCACAAAAUUUCGUGCUCUUCUCUCCCUCUCCCUUCAUUCAUCUCCUUCUUCCUCCAAGCUCUUAUCCAUGGCCUCCUAUGGUGGUGAGCUUCUUCUAGACUCAUCUUCUCCUUGAAGUGGCAUCUCCUCUCUCUCUUCCUUCUCCAUUCCGCUGCCAUUCAUCUUCCAAGAAGCAAAGGAAUCCAUUGAUGAAGAAGAUCCUAGGCCUACAAGCUCCAAUGGAGCUUACAUCAUGUCCCCUUCCCCUUGAAGAGGAUUUGACCUCAAAUCUGUUAGUUCAUCCUCCUCAAUAUCAGCUCCACCUGCAAAAGGAAUUAAAUCCGAAAUGUUAAAAGUGGUGCUGACUCCAUACUCUUUUGGGAGGUCCAACCUAUAGGCAUUGUUAUUGAUCCUCUCCAAAACCUGAAAAGGUCCAUCCCCUCUAGGGCUAAGCUUGGAUUUCCUUUUAGUAGGGAAUCUAUCCUUCCUAAGAUGGAGCCAAACCCAAUCACCCUCAUUAAGAACUAGCUCUUUUCUUCCUCUAUUGCCUUUAGUUGAAUACACCUUUGUUUGGUUCUCUAUUUGGUUCUUAACCCUCUCAUGCAACUUCUUUAUAAACUCUGACCUAGAUUCCCCUUCUUUAUGUAUAAAAGAAGUGUCCAGUGGGAGAGGAAUAAGGUCUAACGGUGUUAGGGGAUUGAACCCAUAGACAACCUCAAAAGGGGACUACUUGGUGGUUCUAUGAACCCCCCUGUUGUAGGCAAAUUCUACAUGAGAAAGAUACUCAUCCCAAGACUUAUGGUUGCCUUUCAGAAGAGCCCUUAAAAGGGUGGAUAAAGACCUAUUCACUACCUCUGUUUUCCCAUUAGUUUGUGGAUGACAAGUGGUAGAGAAAAGAAGUUUAGUUCCUAGCUUAGCCCAUAAGGUUUUCCAGAAGUGGCUAAGGAACUUAGCAUCUCUAUCUGACACAAUGGUCCUAGGCAAACCAUGGAGUCUCACAACUUCCCUGAAAAAGAGUUUUGAGAUGUGGGAAGCAUCAUCCACCUUGUGGCAUGUUAUAAAGUGUGCCAUCUUGCUAAAAUUAUCCACCACCACAAAGAUAGAGUCUACACCUCUUUGGGUUCUAGGAAGCCCAAGGACAAAGUCCAUACUAAUGUCUACCCAAGGUGCAGAAGGGAUGGGUAAGGGUGUGUAUAGCCCAUGAGGCAUCACCCUAGACUUGGCUUGUAAACAAGCCACACACCUAGUGCAAUGCUUAUGGACAUCUUUCUUCAUAUGGGGCCAAUAAAACUUUUCUUUGAGUAAGACAAGCGUCUUGUCUAUCCCAAAGUGGCCCAUGAGCCCACCUUCAUGGCUCUCUUUCACAAGUAAUUUCCUAAUGGAUCCUUGGGGUAUGCAAAGCUUUCCCUCUUUGAACAAAUACCCCUCAGCCAAAUAGAAUCCAUCUUGGGCAUUUUUCCCACAACUCUUGUAAAUGGGAGAGAAAUUUUCAUCUAAAGCAUACAAGUCCCUAAUAUUAUGAAAUCCUAAAAUUUGAGCUCCUAGGGAGCAAAACAAUGUGUGUCUCCUAGAGAGGGCAUCAGCUACCACAUUUGUUCUUCCCUUUUUGUAUUUGAUAACAUAUGGAAAUUGCUCUAGGUACUCUACCCAUUUUUCAUGCCUCUUAUUUAACUUGCUUUGUCCUCUAAUGUACUUAAGUGAUUGAUGAUCACUAUGAAUGACAAAUUCCAUGGAAACAAGGUAAUGUUCCCAAGUUUGGAGGGCUCUUAUUAAGGCAUAAAGCUCUUUAUCAUAAGUGGGGUAGUUGAGAGUGGCACUAUGAAGUUUUUCACUAAAAUAAGCAAUAGGGUGCCCACCUUGUAACAAUAUAGCUCCAACUCCCACUCUAGAGGCAUCACAUUCUAGCUCAAAAGUUUUAGAAAAGUCAGGAAGAGCUAGAAUAGGUGCCUUAGUAAGCUUUUCUUUAAGCAAAGCAGGGGCUUGCUCUUGUUUUUCACCCCAGGUAAAUGCCACAUUCUUCUUCACCAACUCAUUGAGAGGUGAUGCAAUUGUAGAGAAAUUAGGAACGAACCUUCUAUAGAAGCUUGCUAACACAUGGAAGCUCCUAAUAUCUCCCACACUUUUUGGGGUGGGCCAUUCUUGGAUGGCCUUGAUUUUCUAAGGGUCCACAUGGACCCCAUUUCUACCAACUACAAAACCUAAGAAAACUAUAUUAUCUACACAAAAGGUACACUUCUCUAUAUUUGCAUAGAUGGUGUUUUUCCUAAGGACUGAAAGAACUUGCCUGAGAUGUCCUAAGUGAUCAUCUAGGCUCCUACUGUACACUAAAAUAUCAUCAAAAUAAACAACUACAAAUCUACCUAUGAAAUCCCUUAAAACAUGAUGCAUAAGCCUCAUAAAGGUGCUUGGUGCAUUAGUGAGCCCAAAAGGCAUCACUAACCAUUCAUACAAACCAAACUUGGUCUUGAAAGCGGUUUUCCACUCAUCACCCUUUUUCAUACUGAUUUGGUGAUAACCACUUUUAAGAUCAAUUUUUGAAAAGAUAUUGGCACCAUGCAACUCAUCAAGCAAAUCAUCAAGUCUAGGAAUGGGGUGCCUAUACUUUACAGUGAUGUUGUUGAUGGCCCUGCAAUCUGUACACAUUCUCCACGUACCAUCCUUUUUGGGCACCAACAACACCGGCACAACACAUGGGCUUAGGUUCUCUUGGACCCAACCCUUCUCCAACAAUUCUUUAACCUGAGACUCUAUCUCCUUAGUCUCCUGAGGGCUAGUCCUAUAGGCUGGCCUAUUAGGAAGGCUUGCUCCUGGGACUAAAUCUAUUUGGUGUUCUAUUCCCCUUAAAGGAGGUAACCCAGGGGGUAUCUCUUUGGGAAAUAUAUCACCAAAUUCAUGUAAGAGUUCUUGGACCUUUGGGGGUAAGGUCUCAAAUGUAGGAAUUGUGGCAAUGCUAAGGGAUGUUUCCCUUGAUAGGAGAAGGUAGAAAGAUUGUUUAAGAAGGAGUGCUCUUUUAAUAUCACUUUUUGUUGCAAAAUGAUUUUCCUUCUCAACAAUCUUUUUGGAGGAAUCCUUUUCCUCUUUUUCCUUCCCCUUGGCCUUUGAAGACAAGGCCUUACUAUCCUUUUUUUUCUUUUGUUUUUCUUCCUCAUCCCUCUUAUCUUUCAUAGUUAGUUGAUCUUAGGCCACCUGUGAAGGUGUUUGAGGAUGCAACACAAAUUUAGUGCUAAGACAGGUGAGGGUAAUCUCAUUAGUUAGGCCAUUGUAAAUGAUCUUCCUAUCAAAUUUCCACGGUCUUCCUAAAAGAAUAUGUCUUGCCUCCAUGGAAACUAUAUCACAAUUAACUUCAUCCUUAUAUGUCCUAAUGGAGAAAGGUACCUUCACUUGUUGGUUAACUAUCAUUUCCCCUUGCUCAUUGAGCCAUUGAAGUUUAUAAGGUUUUGGGUGGCGAAUGAUAGUGAGGUUCAACUUGGAAACUAAUCUUGUGCUACAACAAUUGCAACAAGAUCCACUAUCCCUAAUGAGAAAACAAGUUUUAUCUAAAAUUUUGCAUCUUGUAUGAAAGAUGUUCUCUCUUUGGGAUUGAGAUAGAUCACAAGAUUGACCUCCAAGGAGCCUUCUGACCAUUAAGAGGUCACCUUCUUCAUGGGGGUAGACUUCCUCACUAGACUCUUCACCCCUUACUUCAUCUUCACUUCCACUAAAGGAAGGGCAAGAAGUAGUCUCCUCUUGACUACUAUAAAUGUCUUGACCCCUCAUGAUCAUGGUUUUCUUUGUGGGGCAUUGAGAGGCAAUGUGACCUCUCCCAAGACAUUUGAAGCAUUUAAUGUUGCUAGUCCUUUCUUGGGAACAAGUCUUGGGGGUGUAUUUCUCUAUGGUCUUAUCCUUAUCUUCCUUGGGUUUUGAAGGUGCAGCCCCUAAAAUUCCAUGGGCUUGGUCCUUCCUUGGAUAAGAGUGAGAGCCAUAAGAUUUUGAAGAAGACUUUCUUUUAAGUUGUUGCUCCACUCUUAUACAAAGUUGGACUAGCUCAUCUAGGUCCCUAUAUGGAAGGAGUUCAACCCAUUCCCUCACUUCCAUAUUAAGCUCACUAAGGAACCUAGCUAUGCUUGUUCUUUCCUCCUCCCUAAGUCCAGCUCUUAAAAUGAGUAGUUCCAUUUGUUGUCUAUAUUCUUCAACACUCAUACUCCCUUGUCUAAGCCUUUGGAUUUUGUCCAUAAGCUCCCUUUCAUAGUAGGAGGGAAUGUGCCUCUUCCUAAGGGCACUCUUAAGAUCAUUCCAAUACUCUACUGGAUGAUCCCCAUGAAUCCUUGGUUCCCUAACAAGGGAAGUCCACCAAUAGAGGGCGUACCCUUGAAAGCUAAGGGUAGCCAAUGGAACUUUUCUCUCUUCGCUAAUAUGAUGGCAAGCAAAGAGUUGUUCAACCUUCAUUUCCCAAUCUAGGUAGGCCUCAACAUGAUCUUUUCCAUGGAAAUAUGGGAGGCUAAUGUUAACCUCUUGAGGCCUUCUAUCCUUUUCUCUUUUCAUUUCUUUCAUUAUUUUUCUUCUUUCUUCCUCUCUUAUUUUCUCUCUUUUAUCUUGACUUAUUUCUUCCACUCUUUUUUUUUUCCUUUUUCUUUUCUCUCUUGUUUUUCUUUCCACAACUUAAGGGAUAUCAACUCAUCUAAUAUCUUAUACAAGGGGUCCUUAGGAGCAGAACCCUCACCAUCAACACUAGAUUAAGAAUGAAGACUCAUGUUGGUUCCUAAGUUAUGGUUCUUUCUUAUUGGGGAUUUGAAAACAAAAGGUAAAAGAAACUAUGGUUGAAACUAGCCAAAAUAAACACUAAAAGAGGUGUGAAAGAUAAGGUAAAAACUAAUUGGUAAAAAGCAAGCUAUCUAGGCGGUUUGACAAUGGAAGGUAAAAGAAAUAAGCUAUGAAAGUAAGCAAGAAAUUAAAGUGCAAGAAAGGCAAACUAGGCGGAUCCUAAGAGUGUUAGGAUGACCUCAUUUAAGGUUCCCAACAAAACACUCACUAUCCUAAGGGAAAAUUGCCUAAAAUUAUUACACAUAAAUGGAAGUAGGGUGACCUAUUGAAGGCUCCCAACUUACUUCCAAUGAAAGGCCUUUUUGUUACAAAGUUUGAAAGCAAAGAAAAUUGCUAAUUACAAAAUUACAAAAAAAAGUCCUCAAUUGUGGUGGCUAUUCUAUCUUUGGUGUUUCACUCAAUUUGGAGUGCUUCUUAGUCCAAUAGCUCUUAAGGUGGUUGGCCCCUUGCUUCUUGACUCAAAUUCUUCAAGGUAUGGCACCAAUCCUCCUUUCCAAUUCCCUAUAUGGCAACUCACAAGCAAGGAAACAAAGAGACAAGCAAUAACCAAAGACAAAAAAAAAAUGAAAUGAAAGCUAAACCAAUAGAGUUUUAACAAGACAAAUUUUCAAGGAUUAUUCAACAAUUAAAGAAAUGAAAAGCACACAAAAGCAAGCUAGGACUCAAAGAGAAACCUAGAAUGGAUCUAGAGUAGAGUAGAAAAACAAAAAAAAAGAAGACUCAAGAAACCUCUAGUUUUGGCACUUGUCUUCACAAUAAUUUUCAAUAGAAAUUUCAGAACUAGGAUUGGUAUAAAAUAGUCACCAAUUAUAGAACAAAUUUUUAGCCAAAACAACAAGCACACUUCCCUUUCACUGUUUUUUUUCUUUUCCUGGACACUGAUUUUUCUUCCAACUUGUGUGAUUUUUCUUAUUUUUUCCUUUAAUCCAAAUCGAUUGGUUCUUUUUUCAUAAUUUUUUCCUGAACACCCCGCAGGGAUCACCAGUAGGCACGCUUGUGCUGAAUCUGACUGAUGAGGAGGAUGCCAUGGAUCAGGACCCACCACAGGACCGGUGACAAGAUUUAUACUUUCCUGUCUUUUGAACACUUUUAUUAUCAUUCUAUUUUUAGUACACGUUAUAAUUUGGUUUUAUAAUUAUGUUUCAGUUUUUAAAUUUCAGUUAUAGUUUUAUUUUAGUUUUUAGUUUGCAUGAUAGCUUGUUUUAAGCUUGAUUGAACAUUUACAUUUAUAUUAUUAAGUGGUUGAUGUUUGAUUUUGAAAAAUUUAGUGCUUGAUGGUUUGAAAUGAUCAAUUUCAUGAUUUGAGUGAAGUGUAAUGCGCACAUCAUAUGCUUUGAAUGAGCAUGCAGUGAUUAGAAGAGAAAGAACAUGGAUUAGGACUAUGACUGAAAAUGUUAGUUAGUUGACAGAUUGAUUGUGAAGGUACUCAUUAACCACAACCUGGUGAGUAUGUGAUCUUGAAUUUUGAGAGAACGACUAGCAUUAAGUAAUGAUUUUUGCAUGAAUCUCUGAUUAUGGAAUGAAUGCAUGAAUUCGAAGAUGAUGAAGGCCAUGGUUGUGUGAAUUAUCCACUUAGCCAAAAAGCUUACCUUGCGAAUGAAAUGAUUUAUCCUUUGCACCCAUAUUGAGCUGAAAUUGAUUACUUGAACCUUGAGCUUGUAAAUUAUAUCUCCUUCUACCAUGUCUUAGGUUGUAGGAGAGCAUCAUUCAUAACAAUAUUGUGGUUCAAAGCAAAUUUGUUCCAAAUUUGGGGGAGUUUAUUGGGUGACAACUUCUAAUGGUAAGAAGAUAACAACACAAACAGUAAACCAAUAAGCAGCAAGUAAAGAGCUGCUGUAUAAAAAAAAAAAAAAGCUAAGUGUGGAAAGGCAAGUAAUCGAAGUUGGAAAUUGAUCGAGGCCCUACCCGAAUCAAAUAAACAUGAAAAUGCAGUAACUAGGAAGUGAUCCUAGGUCGUUUCCCAACGAGCAGUGACAAACCAAAUGUUCAUAAUAUACUUGCAGUAACAGUAACGAUUGGGGGGGGGGGGGUUUGGUUGUUUGGUAAUUAAAGAGCAGAACAAGUAAACUGGAAUACGAAACUACUAAUAUUAAAAACGGGUUGUUUCCUUUGAUUCAGAAGCCAUUCUCUUAUCCUGGGUUAUGGAGAAUUCGUCCCUAACAGUCAACCACUUAAUCCAACCCUAUUUCAAUUUACUAAGCGAAAAUCAACUUAGGGUUUUCAAUACGUGAUUAGGCACCACAUACACCAGUUAGCCCUUCGUCCAUUAAGUAUGAACGCAAGUUAGGCUCAGAGGCAAUUAAUCGAACACGAAGCGUGCACUGAUUAAUAUUCACGAAAUUGGGAUAACUGGUGAAGGGAAAACUGCCAGGAAACCACAUUACAAGCGAAAUCUCAAAGAGAGUUGGGCUUCGUCCUCAAAAGGAAACAACACCAGAAAAUCUAGCCUUCCAUGGAUUCAAACAGAAAACGCAAAUGAAACAUGAAACAGAAACAUAAAUGAACAGAAACGUAAAUGAACAGAGACGUAAAUGAGCAGAAACGUAAAUGAACAGAAACGUAAAUGAAAGUAGAAGAAGAAGCACGAAUGAACUCGUAAUUAGAAGCAGAAAACGGAAAUUUGCAUUAAGAACGAAAACUGUAACAAGGGAACAGAAAAACGUGAAAACCUAAAACCAAAGCUCUGAAUAAUGAAAAUAGCAUAACAGAAUGCCUUGCACGAAUCCCAAGGCAGCUAUUUAAAAAGAGUCACUCAAAGUCACUGGGCCCUAUUACAAUACUCUGGCCCAAAACGAAAUAAACACUGAACAACAUAAAAUAAAAUUGCAAAAUUUCCUAAUUAGAAAUUAACUAAGGUAAGCGCUGCUUUAUUUGCCCUCUUCAAGUCCACAACUAAAAUCCGGAUUAAGCCCAAUGUUUCAUUAAUUCCUGAAAUUAGAUUAAAAACAUCAAAUUAGCUAAAUGAGCCCAAAUAAUAAAACUGCCUAAUUAAUUGACAAUUAAGACCAAUCAAUAAUUAAAAUGGUGCAAAAAGGGUUUAGAAAAUAGAAGAAAAUGAUGGCACAUCAGAAAUAAUUAUGGAAAGAGUUGAUCUAUGGAUGAAUGCUCUCUUAGAACAUAAGCUUUUGCAUCCUAGAAAAACCAUGAUUUGUUAGUAGCCUAGCUUCAUUACAAGCCAAGAAAAGUCCUUCGGAUUUAGUUUGUGUGUUUAUGACUGUAUGGCAUGAGAUGAAUUGCAAAGAUUAAGACUUGUGUUGGUUGUUGAUUGAUUAUAAGCCUAAACACUUGUGCUUGAGUGAAACAGUGAUCAUGAGGCUUUGGUUGAUGAUCUUUCCUUGAUAUUUGUCAUAUUCACUAGCUUAUUUCAGUUGUGUUUCUUAAUAAUCAUGUUCAUAGUUUUGAAAAUCUGCAUGCCUUCUGAGAAGCUGUUGAUUAAACAUUGUAUGCAACUUAUGUCAUGUGAUUGAAUCCUUUGGAACAAACACUUUGUGAAGAACCACUAUGUUUUUAUCACUUGAGGACAUGUGAAUUGUUCUUUCUUUGCUUGAGGACAAGCAAAACUGUAAGUUUGGGGGAGUUUGUUAGUCGUCUUUUACGACUAACUUUUGUAUAGAAAUGUUUUCCAAAAUGUAUAUAUUUUCCCCAAUUUAUGGUUCUUUUUGUAGGAUUGUAAAUAAUUCUUGUUUAGUUUUUAUUUUUGCUAAGUAGAGACCUUCCUCAUGGAACUAAUGUAAAUUUCACUUCAAUUUCAGGUAAAAAGGAGAAAUUUUGGAAGGUGCUGAAGUUGCUUUCUCGCUAAGCCUGGUCCAUGCACUUAGCGAGAUUCAUCCGCUAAGCGAGACAACAGCCCGCUUAGCGAGUAAGAGGAAUCUUGGAGAGAAUCUGCCUCGUCAGCACGCGCUCAGUGGGUCACCAGCUCACCCAACGAGAUUUUUGCCUCUUCUUGCGCUAAGCGCACUUGGCUCGCUGAGCCAAAAUUAACUUACUCACGCUUAGCGUGAAAGUGGCGCUAAGUGCACCUUCAAGGACAGAAAGCCCUUUUUAAGCCCGAAGUGAAAAGAAAGAAAGGGGGUCUGAAUAGGCAGAGAGCUUGGCAGAAGAACAAAAGGGAAAAGCAGAGUAAGGAAGCAAAAACCUUAGCUUUUAGGAGAAUUUUAGGUUUAGGAGUAAUUUCUAGGUUCCUAGAGGUAGAGGAGACAUCCCCAUUACUUUGUAUUCUGGUAUUUUCCCUGAAACCCUUCUCCUGCUUGUGAAAGGUGCUCCCUUGUAAUGGAGGGGUAAAAUCCUUUGUUGGGAAAUUCUGCUUAGUACUUGAUGUAAAUACUUAUCAUAUCUAUUUAAAGUUGUUUUUAUGUGUUCGUUGUUUUUAUCCGUGCUUAAUUAUCGCAUGCUUGUGGCUUGAUCACCCAUUUGUAUGUGCUGUUAGGAGCUUUAGCAUUAGAAAAUGUAUUGCAUCCUUAGAAUUGGAUAGAACAGGGCUAGGUUAUCGUAUAAUCUAGACACGGAGUGUGGUAGUUUAGUUUUUAUUAUGUUGUAGACGUAAUGCUGUUCGAUUAGGCUAAGUUCAACAAGAGACAUCUGAGAACGAAGCUUAAUUAGAAUUAGUCCAAACUCACGAGACAUCGGUGUUUGGUAUUUUAGCUCUCAACAUAGAACAUGGAAAAUAACUUUGAAUAGAGAAAUACAUUUAAUUGAGUCAAGUAUCUCAGUAGGAGCACCCAACGCUUUUACAUAUUUGUUUUCGCAUCCACUUGCGCAUAUUUACUGUUUUCAAUUAGAAUAGAAAUCACUUUUGUUUUUAAUUCAUGAUAAUCAAUUCUUUUCACAAAUGUCUGCCUACUGAAUGAUGCUUUGCCAAAUAAAACAGGUUCCCUGAGUUCGAUACUUGGUUCUUACCAUUUUAUUAUUACUUGCACGACUCGGUACACUUGCCAGUUAGAUUUACGCAUCCAUAUUAACAAGUAACACCGGGGCGUAAACAGUUGGCGUUCAUCCAAGCUAAAAAUUUGGAAUCUGAAAUGCUUGGCUUGGAUAGGACAUCAUCAAUAUCAUCAUGGUCCUCAUAAAGAACAUUGUGUUGGACUGGAAGAUGGAAAUAUAAUCUUUCAACGGCAGGCUUCCUAGCAUGUAUUGGAAAACCAAAAAUUCUCCAAGCAGCUUCACAGGGAGAAAUGUAUCUGGCAUAAACAUUUAUUUAUUAAAACAAUAAUGGGCACAUUAAUUACACAUGUUAAAUUAAUGCUACCUGCAAUCUAUAUAUUCUUUAAUCUCAUCUUUUUGGUUGGUAGCAUUCUGGAUUUCAUCAUUGCCAUCAUAAACCAUAACAUCAGUGACUCUGUCAUACCCUUUGUUUAUGUACUUGAAUAAAUGUUUGAUUGAAGUACUUUGAUUACACCAUUCAAUAUUGACAUGCACUUGGUAUUUUUUCAGUAAUUUUGGAUUAUAAGGUACGAUGUGUCUAUUAUCAAUGAUAACACCAUUCUUUGAAAUUGUACGACCAUCAUUUCUCCUAUGAUAUACUGGAUAACCAUUUGCAUCUAAAAGAGUGUAAGGUUGGAACAUUUUAGGAUAAAAUCUGCUACACUUUCCUUCUUUCAUACAUGGAGAUUCAGAGCGUAUAAUUCCACAUGGGCCAUGAACCAUAUGAUUUUGCACCAAUGUAUACAAUUUUGGGUCAUCUACCUUUGAAUGUAUCUCUGCUGAUAUAAUCUGAUCAAUUUCAUCUGAAGUUGGAUAUUUAUUGUCUGGGUGCAAAAACAACAAUAAAUGGACAUGAGGAAGUCCUCGUUUUUGGAAUUCUAUUGUAUGCAUAUAUGUGAUUGUUAAAUUAUAGUAUUAGCAGGAAAACAAUAACAUAUAAAUAUUUAACAAUUAUGUUAUAGGAUGAGCAAAAGUAAAAAAUAAUAAAUUGAAUUCUAUGUUUAAUAGAAAAAGUUGUUGUCAACUUACAUGCCACUGCUUUUCCAAGUAGGUGAUUCUUUGAUAGGUCUGAAAGCAUUUCUUCAUAUUUCAACUUGAAAACUCGUGAGAUAAUGUCUGGUCUAUCUGCUGCUUUCAAAUUCAAUGGUGCAAGUAAUCUAUGGAUUUCAGGCCAAUUUGGAUUACAUGUUAAAGUGAUAAAAAGAUUUGGGAAACCAACGUGGCUGCAUAUCGCCAUACCAUCAAAAUAUAGCUGAUCCAUGUAGUGCGGACUCCCAACAAAGGUAGAAGGAAAAAUUACUCUCUUGCCUUUAUUUAAACCUUGGCUUGUCCCAACAUCCAGUGAAUUUUGUAAGCUACAAUACUUGUUAACUCUGAGUUUCUUUUGGUUGUUCCUGAUGUAGUUAAGUCUUUCCGAUUCAACCAUCGUAUAUGCUUCAGCAAUGAAUUGUUGAAAUAGUCUUCUAGAAUGCAAUAAAGUUUGAGCUUCAUUUGGUCUAGACUGAAGUCUAUAAGCAAACCUCUCUCUCAUAGUGAGACGAUUUCUCUUUCUCUUUUUGCUGUCUGGUGUUGCAUAGUGAAGUAUGUCAGACCUAUAUCCAUCUUCACCAUAAGGGAAAAGCAGAGGGAAUUGUAGGCCUAGAUAGCUAGAGUGCAAUUCAUGUAUUCUCUGUAACUGUCCAUUUUGAGUCUCAACAAUAAUAUCUCUUCUUGAGUUGGGAUUAAAAUCACCUACAAUAAGUGCAGCAACUUCUGAAACAGUUGGAACAUUGUAUGUACGACCAUCCUUUUCACGAGUAGCUAUCAAUCUUAAUCUGACAUUAUCCACAUCACUAUCUGCCAAUCUAUCUCUAGCCAUCCUAAAACUUUUAGCAUGCGCAUUGUGUUCAUCCAACAUUUCACCUAAACUUGAAACAAUUUGCGGUUGAAUUCCAUCAUGCUGGCUAGAAAAAGUAAUAUUAGAACUGAUAUGUAAUUCAAAGAAAAUCUGUGAUGAAUGUAUGAUUUUUAUAAUUAUAGAAAUGAAAGAAUCAGUACCUGAUGGCAUUAAUGCUAUUUUGAACUUCAUUAUCUGUGUCAAAGAUAUAUAAUUGUGCAAAUUUGGGUUCUUUUCCAGACAUUGGUAAUAAACUGCCUAUCCGGUGACAUGGUUGACCCUGAAUUCUAAUUGUAGGAGGUCCUCUCGAAUGAUUAAUUGAUUUGUCUAGCUUAAUACCAGCAAAAGUAAAUGCAAACAUCAUGUUAUAUGUGUGUAUGUUUUGUUGAUAAUUUCUACCAUCAGCUGAAUUAUGAUCAAAGAGAAGUCGGUGGAGAUAUUUGGGUGGAUUUUGUAACAAUGGAAGUUCAACUUUGCCAUCUCCACAACAUAAGUUGAACCUCAGGCUUGUACUAUUUUUAUGUUUUGAUAUUCUUUCAUUAUACCACAUUUUUGCAUUAUAGUGUCUACAUUGCAUCAGCUGGUCACCAAGUUCAUAAUAGCCUGAAAUUGUUUAAUGACAUAGGAAAGAUGAUGGUAACAAUUGAUAACAUGGAUAAAAAAAUAUGUCAACUGAUAUGGUUGUCAAUGACUCAGAAUUAUAAUUCUCAUCUUCAAUGUUAAUUGCACGGUCAUUGGCAGAGGAUUGACAAUCUUCAUUUCCAGGGGAAAAAUUUAAAUCAGAUCUUGCAAGAAUUACAAUUACAUAUGGUUAUUAGAUUUCAGGGAUGAAAAAAUCUUGAAUAAAGGAGUUUCUUUGCAUGGUACCUUGUGUUGAUUCAGAACUUAGAUCCUCUAAUGAAUCAGAUUCAAUUGCUUAUAGAUAGAGACAAAUCAAAGUUAAAUGGAAUCAAUUAAUCGAAAGCAAUAUAUUUUACAUGCAAGAUGGUUCAUAUAGUUUCUUACUAUGAUAAUUCCUACGUUGUGAAGUAGAGUCCAUAAUUGCCUGUGGAGGGGCCUGAGCCUGAGGUUGUCGUUUUUUUUAUCUAUGAUACGUUUUUUGUUCAUUCUGGCUUUUGCUGAAUUAGACUUGUCCGUGAAAUGGUACUUUUCCAUGGUGUUAAUGGCAAUUGUUGACUUGGUUGAGUUAUAAAUUAAUGAGAAAAUGGCAAUUGAGAUCAACUAAGAAAAAGUAAACUAACUCUAGAAUGCAUGCAAGACAUUAUGAAAAUAAGAGAAAUGGACAGUUGAAGGCCUAGAACUAUAGUUCAACAUUAACAGCUGGGAAAAUCUGCAUAUAGGAAUGAUGACACUUGCAUGUAGAAACAUCGGUUGGUGAGACUGAUGGGAAAGCUAAUAUGAAAGAUGUUGUGUAUUUUUUGUAAUCACAUGUAUAGCAUAUAUCAUUCAACUUGAUGUAUGCUUUUUUUUCUUCAGAGGAUGCAGAACAAAAUAGGGGACUGAUCGAGGCCGUACCUGAAUCAAAUAAACAUUAAAAAUGAAGUAUCUAUGAAGUGAUCCUAGGUCGUCUCCCAACGAGCAAUGGUCAACCAACGUUCAUAAUAGAUAGUGAUAAAACAGUAACGAAUUGGGGGGGGGGGUUGUUUGUUUUUGUAAUUUAAACAGCAAGCAAAUUUUUAAUUAGAAAAUAAUAGAAUUAGAACACAUUGUUUCCCCUUGAUUCAAAAGCAAGUCUCUUAUCCUAGGUUAUGAAGAUUUAUCCCUAACCAGUUCAACCACUUAAUCCAACCCUAAAUUAAAUUACUAAGCAAAAAUUAACAUAAGGCUAUCAUUAUGUGAUUAAGCAACACAUACACCAAUUAAUCAUGAACGAAGCUGAUCAUUAAGCAUGAACGUAAAUUAAGCACAGAGACAAUUAAUCAAGCACUAAGCAUGCAUGGAUUAAUAGCAACAAAUACAAAGUAAUUGGUGAAGAGGAAAAACUUAUCAUAAUUCAAUAGUAAUAACAAAAUCUCAAAGAGAGCUGUGCUUGAUCCUCAAGAGAAAACAAUGCUGGAGACUUAGCCUUCCAUUAAUCAGUAGAAAACGAAAUUGUAGAUUGAAGCAGAAACAAAAUUGCAGAAAACGAAUUUUAUUCUACGUGAACAGUGCACAUGAACAGUAAAAAUUGGAAUUCUAAAACCCUAGAAUUAUUCUCCUCUUCAAAAAAACUCCUAAACUAAAAAUCUGGUACUGUUAUAUAAGUCCUCAGCCCCAAAGCUUACAAAUCUGUUUUAAGUCCAAGUCCAUAAAUAAAAUAAAAUCUGGACAAGAUAAGAUAAGAUUAGAUGAAAUAAAAUAUAGAUGAAAUAAAAUCUAGAUAAAAUAAGAUUAGAUUGGAUGAAAUAAAAUCUAGAUGAAAUAAAAUCUGGAUAAGAUAAGAUUUGAUAAAAUAAAAUUGUUUGCUCUCUUCAAGUCCAAGCCCAAUUCCGGAUUCAAUCCCAAUUGCUUAUAAUUCUCCUGAAAUUAAAUUAAAAACACAAAAUUAGUCAAGUAGGCCUAAAUGAUAAAAGUGCAUAAUUAAUUUGAUAAUUAAGGCUAAUCAGUAAUUAAAAUGGUGACAAAAAAGGUUAAGAAAUAGGAGAAAAUAAUGACACAUCAAAUCCCCCCACACUUAGCCUUUUGCACUCCUGGGCAAAAUCAAAAAGCAAAGCAAGGAACAAAUCCAGAGACAUUAAAGAGAAACAAACAAACACAAAAACAAUUACACAUUUCUCAAUGAAUAUCAAGGAAUGAAAGGAAUGGGCAACAUCCAACACGUAGAGAGUUAAAGAAUCAAGACAGUCAUGAAAAUCAUCCAAGCAUCUCAAACAUGGCAAGAUAGUCAAUCAGCUCAAGAAUGAAAAGUGAUAAAGCCUCAUCAUAAGAUAUGCACUCUAUCUCUCAAGUGUGUAGGCUACUGUUUACACUCAAAGCACCCAUGAAAACAAACACCACAUAGACUUGGCAAGACUCUAAAAUUGACAACCACAUCACAAACACAUGCAUAUGAGGAUCAAAAGGUCUUUUAAGGUUGUAAUGGGGCCAAGGACAAGGUAGAGGAAAGUAUGGGAUAAGUAGCUAAAACCCAAAGGAAUAGAGGAGCAAUGGGGAAUAAGUGAGAACAAAGAAAAAGUAGUAAACCCCAAAACCAAAAUUAAAAAUUAAGCAUAAAAAGUAAACCCAAAACAAAGUCAACCAAGUCCUCAAACCAAUCCGAGUCUUCAAAUCAAGACCUCAUGUAUUCAACUUCAUUCUUUUUCUGUUUUUUUUUUCAUUUUUUUUUUCAUUUUUUUUGAACGUGAACAGUAGCAAUUGAAAGCAAUUAAAAAAUAAAGCAACAAUUAGGCAAUAUAUGUAUAUACAUCAAGCAUGGCCAAAAUACAUCAUCAAGCAUGGCCAACAAAAACAUAUCAUCCAAUGAAACAUACCCCCCACACUUAUUCCCAAAACAUUUCCAAAGCUCUAAAAUUCCUUAAGGGUAGGGUGAGAUCAUGGUUUUUCACUUAAGGCUUGUAAUGAGCUUCAAAACAAAGAAAGGGGAACAUAGGCUCAAAGGGGCUAUCAAAGGAAUUAAUUCAAGGUAGGCUCAUUUGGCUAAAGGCUUAUAAGAACAAAAUGCCUAAAUCAUCUCCCAACAUGCGUGUGAAGCAAGAAGUAUCAACAAGAGUCAAGCCAAGGCUACUGUGCAAGCAAUCAAUGGGGAAAAACACACCGAAUAAAAUAGAUGAUGAUGGCUCAAAUUCUCACCAAGGGUAAAUCUAUCACUUCUAAUUCGAACUUUCAAAACUAACUUGACAUGCAGAGAAAAACAAGGAUUUCAAUUCACAAAAUGCCAAGAAACUCCUAUUUCAAAAAUAAUUACCCAUUACCUGUACAUAACCUAUAAUUCAAAGAGAAACAUGCAAUGUUGUACAUAAAACAUAAAACCAAAAUAAAAAAAUAAACCUAGAAAACCUAAAAAAAAAUUAAACUAGAAAACCCAAAAAAUUUAAUCUAGAAUACCCAACAAAAUCAACAAAAUUAAAGAACAAUCUCCCCCCCCCCACACUUAAACAACACAUUGUCCUUAAUGUAGCACAAUCACAAGAUCAAGAUCAAUCAAAACAAUCAAUAAAAUUGGACAAGUGCAAUAAAAGUAAAGAAGGAGACAGAAAAAAAAGAAAACUCCCUAAGUCAUGGCAGAAGAGAAGUAGGGUGAAGUAAGUUGGUCUCCUCCACCACUACAUCCACUAAGGAGGGAUUUGUGAGGAAUGGUUUCAGCCGGUCUCCAUUGACCUUGAAGCUCUUAUUUGUGGAUUCACUUUUGAUCUUAACUAUACCAUAAGGAAAAACAUUAGUCACCACAAAAGGACCAAUCCACUUUUACCUCAACUUACCACUCAUGAGUCCGAGCCUAGAGUUAUACAAUAAAACUUUCUGUCCAACCACGAAGUCCUUAUUAGCUAUCAAGAUGUCAUGGAACUUCUUGGUCUUCUCCUUGUAGAAUUUGGAAUUCUCAUAGGCUUCUAAAUGGAUCUCAUCUAGCUCACUUAGUUGCAACUUCCUUUCCUCUCCAGCCUGAUCAAUAGAGAAGUUGCAGGUCUUUACAACCCAGUAGGAUUUGUGCUCUAUCUCUACAGGAGGAUGACAUGCCUUGCCAAAGACAACCCGAUAAGGAGAUAUUCCUAUGGGUGCUUUGUAGGUAGUCCUAUGCGCCCAAAGAGCAUCAUCCAACUUGAUGCUCCAAUCUUUUCUGUUCGGCUACACAAUCUUCUCCAUGAUCCUUUUUAUCUCCCUGUUUGAAAUCUUAGCCUGCCCAUUAGUUUGGGGGUGGUAAGGUGUGGAAAUUCUGUGCAUGACCCCAUACUUUUUGAGCAAGGCAUACAUGGAUCUGUUACAAAAAAUGGGUGCCUUGACCACUAACGAUGGCUCUAGGGACUCCAAACCUACAAAACAUAUUAGAUCUAACAAAAUCCACAAAAACCUUAGCAUCGUUAGUUCUGGUGGGUUUGGCUUCCACCCAUUUUGAAACAUAAUCAACAGCAAGGAGAAUAUAAACAAAACCAAAAGAGACAGGGAAAGGCCCCAUAAAAUCUAUACCCCAGACAUUAAACACCUCACAGAAUAACAUGGGUUGUUGAGGCAUUUGCUGUCUCCAUGAAAGUGAGCUGCCUGCUUUCUAACAAGGCUCACAAGUGCUACAGAUUCUCCACGCAUCCUUGAAGAUGGUGGGCCAAUAGAAACCGCAGUCAAGCACCUUGCGAGUUGUCCUUUGUAUGCCAAGAUGGCCACCUGAUGCGGAAGAAUGACAAAAUUGCAGGAUUGAGUCAAUCUCAUGGUCUGAAAUGCAUCUCCUAAUAACCUGGUCACUGCACAACUUCCACAAAUAGGAGUCAUCCCAAAUAUAAUGCUUAGCAUCUCUCUUAAUUUUAUCAUUUUGAGCUUUAGAUGCUAAGGGAGGAAAAACAGAAGCAACCAAAUAAUUCACAACAUUAGCAAACCAAGGAGUGGGGAAGGAAUCAGAAAUACUAUACAGAAUGUACAAAUGGUCAUCCAGAAAAUCAUCCCGAAUGGGUGAGUCCUCAGAUGCACGCUCAAUCCUUCUCAGGUGGUCAGCCAUGAGGUUCUGUGCACCACUCCGAUCACGGAUCUCCAAAUCAAACUCUUGGAGCCAAAGCAUCCAUCUGAUCAAUCUAGGCUUUGAUUCAACCUUCUUCAACAGGUACUUCAGAGCUGCAUGGUCAGUAUAAACAAUAACAUGAGUACCAAGCAAAUAUGAACCAAAUUUUUCAAAAGCAAAAACUAUCGCUAAUAGCUCUUUCUCUGUGGUAGUGUAAUUUGCUUGAGCAGCAUCCAAAGUUCUAGAAGCGUAGUAGAUCACCCGAGGUAGCUUAUCAAUCUUUUGAUCAAGGACAACCCCCAAUGCAUAAUUGGAUGCAUCACACAUUAACUCAAAUAGGGCUGUCCAAUUAGGUGCCUGAAUGAUAGGGGUGGUAGUCACCGCACGCUUGAGGCAAUCAAAAGCCUCUUUGCACCGGUCAUCAAAAUCAAACUCCACCUCCUUUUGCAGCAGAUUGGAUAGUGGAAGGGCCACUUUGCUAAAAUCCUUGAUAAAGCGCCUAUAAACCCUGCAUGACCAAGAAAAGAACGAACCUCUCGCACGCAAGAGGGGUAAGGAAAUUGUGAAAUAACAUCUGUUUUUGCAGGGUCUACCUCUAUGCCCCUACUGGAAAUGAUAUGCCCUAAAACUAUACCUUGUUCUACCAUGAAGUGACAUUUUUCAAAAUUCAGCACAAGGUUAGUUUCUAUGCAUCUACUAAGAACUCUAUCCAGACUAUCCAAACAUGUAUCAAAAGAGGAUCCAUAAACAGUAAAAUCAUCCAUAAACACCUUUAUACAAGUCUCUAAAAAAUCAUUGAAAAUGCUAGGCAUACACCACUGGAAGGUACCAGGGGCGUUGCAUAGGCCAAAGGGCAUCCUCCUAUAGGCAAAAGUGCCAAAGGGACAGGUGAAUAUGAUCUUUUCUUGACCCUUAGGAGCAAUAUGAAUUUGUAAAUAACCAGAAAAACCAUCAAGAAAACAGUAAUGAGACUUACCUGUCAAGCGCUCAAGCAUUUGAUCAAUGAAUAGCAAGGGAAAAUGAUCUUUUCUGGUUACCUGGUUCAGCCUCCUAUAAUCAAUGCAGACUCGCCAGCUGUUCUGCACUCUUAUGGGGAUAAGCUCAUCCCUCUCAUUCUUGAUCACUGUGAGGCUUGUCUUCUUAGGAACCACUUGGACUGGACUCAUCCACUGGCUGUCAGAAAUGGGGUAGAUGAUUCCAGCUUGUAAGAGCUUGGUCACUUCCUUUUUCACCAUAUCUAGAAUGACGGGGUUGAGUCACCACUGUGGCUGCCUCACUGGCUUAGCUCCAUCCUCAAAAAGUAUCCUAUGCAUGCAGGUAGAUGGGCUAAUACCAGGAAUGUCUGCUAAAGUCCAUCCAAUGGUCUUCUUGUGCUUCUUGAGCACUAGCAACAACUUCUCCUUUUGCUCAACAUCAAGGCAGGCGGAGAUGAUCACUGGAAAUUUUUUCUUGUCCUCCAAGUAAGCGUACUUGAGGGUUGCUGGUAAGGGCUUCAACUCUGGUGUGGGUGGUGGCUAAAUAGUGGGAGGAACCAGCGUAGGAGAAGAAGGAGGUUCCUCAACCUGUACCUCAUAAAGCAAGUCAGAAGUGUAUGUACUUCCUGCAACAUGGUUAGUGCUUUUUGACUCCAAAAAAUCAACAUCAAGAGGUACAACACCCAGAAAAUCAGAACCAGACUCAAAUUCAAAUUCACUCUCAGCGUAAAAGUCAGAUACAGGAUCAAAUUCAAACUUAGAUUCAGAUUCAAUGCAUAAGGAAUGACAAGUACGCAGACCAGAUAAAAAUGGAUGCUUCCUACCAUGAAGAAUAGAAUCAAAAUUCAAACAUAUAAUCAUCAACAAUAUGAUCAAUUAUCUCAGCAUGGAAAACAGAAUGAUCCUCAGAUGGAUGUUUCAUGGCAUCAAGAAUGUUAAAAUGAACAACAAUAUCACCAAAUUCCAUAGCCAAUUUGCCAGCAUAAACAUCUAUCUUGGUUCGGGCUGUUUUCAUAAAUGGCCUGCCUAAAAUAAUUGGAACUGAACGAUGGGAAAAUCCCUCUUCCAUAUUAAGAACAUAAAAAUCAACAGGAAAAAUAAGUUCACCAACCAGAACCAGCACAUCCUCUAUGAAACCUGUGGGGUAAGCAACACUUCUAUUUGCCAAAUGAAUCACCACAUCUGUAGAUUGCAAAGGUCCAAGAGAUAAAGAAUUGAAAAUGGACAGAGACAUGACACUAACUGAUGCUCCUAGAUCUAGCAUGGCAUUCUCAAAUUUAUUGUUCCCAAUAAUGCAAGGUAUACAGAAAGUACCUGGGUCCUUACAUUUCUCAGGAAUGUGAGGAACAGAUUUACCUAUCAAUGCUGACACAUUUCUGCCCAUGUAAUCCUUUCAUUGCCUUUGAGCUUCCUUUUGUGGGUGCACAGCUCCUUUAGAAACUUGGCAUAUCUUGGAAUCUGCUUGAUGGCAUCUAGCAGAGGUAUGUUCACCUCUACUUUCCUGAAGGUCUCCAAGAUCUCCUUUUCCGCUUCUUCCAUUUUUUGUUUGGAAUUGCUCUAGGUGGGAAUGGAAGAGGGAUAGGAGGCUGCGGUAAGUCAGAAUUACUAGAAGAAGGUCCACCUGCAUGAAAAUUUUUGUUAGGAAGCUUUCUCUUUUGUGCAACUAUCUCAUCCUCUUUUUCAGGUGUAGAAUGAAGCUUGACAGGUUCAGGUGCAGGUGUUGCUACUGGUGGAGGCACUUGAAUUUGGUUGCCAGACCUCAAGGUGAUGGCACUCACAUUUUUUGGGUUCUGCACAGUUUGUGAAGGCAAUUUGUCAUAAUUUUGGGACUGAGCUUGGUUCAACUGAGUAGCCAUCUGCCCCAUCUUAUUUGUUAGACUCUGAAUGGAGGCUCUUGUCUCUUGCUGAAAUUGCAUAUUCUGGAUGGUCAUUUGCCUCACUAACUCUUCUAAGGAAGGUUGAGGAGGAGCCUUAGUUGCUUGUUGUCUUUGUUAUGACUGCUGCUGUUGUAUUGGAGGAGGAACAUAUGGCUUGCUUGGACCAGGAGCAUUCUAGAAAGGAGGGACAUGCUGUUGUUGUUCUGGAGGACUUGCCCAUCUCAGAUUUGGAUGAUUUCUCCAACCUGGAUUGUAUCUGUUGCUUGAAAGAUCAUAAUUAUUCUGUUGUUGUUGGUUUUGCUGCUGAGGAGGUCUAUUAUAAAUGUUUGCAGCAUAAGCUUCAGGUUGCUUAUUGACUCCAGAUUGCUGCAAAGAAGGACAGAGAUCUGUAUGGUGAUCUGCAGAAGAACAUAGACUACAGACUCUUGCAACAGGUGCAAAUUUUUUAUUCAUGGCAAGCUGAGUUACUAGGUUGACCAAGGCAUCAAGUUUUCCCUCAAGCUUUUUAUUUUCAGUAGAUGAAGAUGAAUCUGUGGCCACCUCAUGGACUCCUCUAAGGACAAUAGCAUCAUUUCUUGCACUGAAUUGUUGGGAGUUCGAAACCAUCUUUUCAAUCAAAUUCCUAGCCUAAGCAGGAGUCAUAUCACCAAGAGCUCCACCACUGGCAGCAUCAAUCACACUCCUCUCCAUGUUGCUAAGUCCCUCAUAGAAAUAUUGAAGAAGGAGUUGCUCAGAAAUCUGGUGGUGAGGACAACUUGCACACAAUUUCUUGAAUCUUUCUCAGUACUCAUACAAGCUCUCUCCACUAAGUUUCCUGAUGCCUGAAAUGUCUUUUCUGAUGGCAUUGGUCCUAGAUGCAGGGAAGAAUUUCUCCAAGAACACCCUCUUAAGGUCAUCCCAGCUGAAAAUGGACCUGAGAGCAAGGUAGUAGAGCCAAUCUUUUGCCAUCCCCUCCAGAGAAUGAGGAAAAGCCUUUAGAAAGAUAUGAUCUUCUUGGACAUCAGGGGGCUUCAUGGUGGAACAAACAAUAUGGAAUUCCUUAAGAUGCUUAUAAGGAUCUUCACCUGCAAGACCAUGAAACUUGGGCAGCAAAUGUAUUAGUCCAGUCUUGAGAACAUAUGGAACACCCUCAUCUGGAUAUUGAAUGCACAAGCUUUCAUAAGUGAAAUUAAGUGCAACCAUCUCCCUAAGAGUCCUCUCAUGAGGUGGAGGUUGAGCCAUGUUCUCAGUAUGAAAAUUAGUAGUCAAAUGCUCAAAAUCAGAAUAUUCAGAAUCACCAGCAAUAGAAUACUCAGAAUGCUCAAAAUGCUCAUAAUGAUCAGGAUUCACACUAUGCCUAACUAAUCUAUGAAAGGUUCUAUCUAUUUCAGGAUCAAAGGGUUGUAAAUCACCUGGGUUGCCCCUAGUCAUGCACUAUAUGUAGCAAUUAAUGUGUUUUCAAAUAAGCACCAAGGGAGGGUUAAAACUACAACUAUAGUCAAAUGAUAUCCAAAUAAGCUGAAAUUUUGUGAGCAACACCCUAAAAUUAUGAAAAGAUAGCAUAAAAAAUUUCAUACAAAUAUUCAAAGUCUCACUAUGAAAACUACUUAAGCAAAGUUUAGAAAAAUAGGACAAUAAUACUUGAAAAAUAAAAUAACUUAGUAAACAGCUGAUUUUUAGAGUUUGGGAGACCCCAACCGGCUACAGUGGGUUGCCACACUCAGGGAAAUUUUUUUUCUACCCGAAAUGCAUGUAUAAUAAAAGUCAUUCUGAUACCCAGAGCAAAAGUUAUGGCCGUUUUAAGUUUUGCUAAAAACAAGUUCCCAAAAUUUUUGUCUCUCUCAAAUUCAACCACACCAAGUGCUCCUGGUAUUUUUCACACAAAAUAUGGAUCAAAAGAAACUACCACACAAAAAAUCAGCCAAAAAUAACAACUCUAACUAUCAAAACAAAAAUCGCUAAUUAAAUUGCAAAAUCAGUCGCUAAUUCCCAGUCGCUAAUCACUGUUCACAGCAAAACACCAACUGAAUCAGUUGCUAAACAGUCGCUAAAAAUAGUUGCUAAAUAGGGGACGCGACUGAAAUGCAAAACAGAACGCUACACAAAACAAAACAACUAAAUACUAUUAUGAACCUUUGGCCCACUGCUCCCCGGCAACGGCGCCAAAUUUGAUCGAGGUUGUACCUGAAUCAAAUAAACAUUAAAAAUACAGUAUCUAGGAAGUGAACCCAAGUCGUCUUCCAACGAGCAAUGAUCAACCAACGUUCAUAAUAGAUAGUGAUAAAACAAUAACAAAUUGGGGGGGGGGUUGUUUGUUUUUGUAAUUUAAACAGCAAGCAAAUUUUUAAUUAGAAAAUAACAGAAUUAAAACAUGUUGUUCCCCCUUGAUUCACAAGCAAGUCUCUUAUCCUAGGUUACGGGGAUUUAUCCCUAACUAGUUCAACCACUUAAUCCAACCCUAAAUUAAAUUACUAAGUGAAAAUUAACAUAAGGUUGUGAUUAUGUGAUUAAGCAACACAUACACCAAUUAAUCAUGAACAAAACUGAUCAUUAAGCAUGAACAUAAAUUAAGCAUAGAGACAAUUAAUCAAGCACUAAGCAUGCAUGGAUUAAUAGUGUCGCAACCUACCCUUCGGCGGGAGGGCGACGCGUGACUCGCGGGAGCGUGUUCCAAGAAAGGAAUAUGCGCGGAGUCGCCACCAACGUUUAUUUGAGAAAAACGUCGGAAAAACCGGAAAAGACGUGAUCUACGAACCCUAAGUGAAAAGUUCGGGAGUUGUAUUUACGCACGGGGAAGGUAUUACCACCCUACGCGUCUGUCACAAGAGACGACAACUUUUAAUCAAAUGUGCAAAUAUGACUUCAAUUUAUAUUCUUUUCCCUUUUUACGUUCUAAUGUCUUUUUUAUGUUUUUAUCUUUUUGUGGUCGACAAGGGCGUUUCCCUUUGCUCCUACGUAUUCCUCAAUUGUGAUGAGAAAAUCAGACCUACGUAGUUCUUUUGUGAACAAAGCGUUUUGGUUAAGUUAUUUUUUAUCCUUUUUUGCAAGAUAUGUUUUUAUUGAAUGAAAGGUCAUUUAAGGCGUUGGACCAUUAGACAAUCUUUCGAUUCUUUUGAAAAGUGAGAAAACAUUAAGGCAUUGGACCAUUAAUGAUUUCUUUAUUUUUGAAAGAGGUAACAAAGUUACAUAUUGAUUUUAGGCUUUUUAGAAAUCUACACUUAACCAAUAAAAGCGGAAAAGACCAUUUCAAGGCGUUGGACCUUUCAAAAUGGCUUUUUUAGGCGAUGACAAAAGUUUGGUUUAUGAAUUGAUUUUAGCCUUAGUUUCACUUUGGUUAUUAGUCGAUUCGAUUUAAGAAAGAGAAAUCCCAAAGAAAAACGUCCGAUUGAUUUUUUUGAUUUAUUUUACUAAAAGAUAUUUUUGAUUAUUAUAUUAUUAUUUUGCUUCUUUUUGGUUUCCAACGGGGUUACGGCAUGACCGAACGGUCGGAUUUCAUUUUAACAGAAAUUAACGGAUGUUACAAUUCAAAUGAUCGGUGGGAAUUUAUUUUAUUUUUGAUUAGGGAAGAAAAUGACUUAAGUAAAUGACUAAAGCACGUCAAAAGGGGGUACGGAAAGUAAAUGAAAUGAAAAUAAAAGCACGUGAAAACAAAUGAGGAUCACUAAGGGUACAUAAAAUGAAUUGAAAAGUUUGAUUUCGGGAACUUACCGGUUGAUGACCGAAGAACGACGAAGAACGGUUGAAAAUCUUCGCGAAAUCACCCACGGAAACGUUACGGAAGCGCCUUGGCUUGGAUUUUCUUCAUGGAAACAAUUUUUCUCACUAAUUUUAAGUGAAUCUUAGAUACCAGGAGGGUUGAACCUUUUUGUUCUUCCCUCCUUCCCCUAUUUAUAGGAAAAGGAAGGAGAUGCUUGCCACCCAGCUCGCCCAAGCGAGCUAGGUUGCUUCCUUCAGAAGCAACCGCCUUCUGGAGGAACAUCCUGGAAGGCCCAAGUGGGCCUGGUUGCUAUUUGAACCCCCAUUUUUACUAAAUACACCCCUGUCUUUUUUUUGGUGAUUCUUUUUCCGUAAAGUUACGAAAACUUACGAAUUUCGUAACGAUACUUGUUUUCUUUCCGUAAUGUUGCGGAACCUUACAGAUUACAUAAUCAUCCCUUUUUUGCCUUCCGGAACGUUACGAAAAUUUACGGAUUGCGCACUAACACUUCCUUUUAAUUUCCGGCAUGUCACGGAACUUCAUGGAUUGUGCUACAACGCUUUUCUUUUGGCUUCCGGCAUGUCUCGAAACUUCACAAAUUGCCUAACGAUGGGUGCCAAAUACCUCGAAGUGGUCAAACAAGGGUCGCAUCCCAACAACGGAUGGUCCCCGGACGAAAUUAGGGUAUGACAGUUGCCCCUCUUUACUUGUCUUUUAUUGGAGAUAAAAGGGAAGUAAAGAUAAGACACUAAUUUCGUUCGAGCGAAACACCAUUCGGCCAAUGAACCUCCCUGCCAGCGGAACCUGCAAAAAUUUGAAAAUGAUCAGUACUGACACAUCAUCCUGAUACUGUCGAAUAUGUUCCUCUUGGUUGAUACAAGACGCAGAAUGACCAUAAUUUGUCUCUGCGUUUUGUUGGACACGAUCGAGCCUGGGCGGCGAGACACAGAAUGACCAUAAUUUGUCUCUGCGUACCACCAGACAUGAUCGCCUCUGGAUGGCGAAAUGGUGCGCGGAAUGACCAUAAUUUGUCUCUGCCCACCUCUCGACUUACUGUCCCCGAAUGACAAAGGGCGUAGAAUCUGUCUCUGCGCGUUUACCACCCAACUUGUUGUUCCUGAAUGAUAAAGGGCACAGAAUUUGUCUAUGCGCGUUUAUCCACUCAGCUUGCUGCUCUUGAAUGAUAAAGGGCGCAGAAUUUGUCUAUGCGCGUUUAUCACCCAAUUUGUGAAAUCUGAAUGGCAAAGGGCGCAUAAUUCGUCUAUGCGCGUUUACCACUCGACUCGCUGCUCCUGAAUGAUAAAGGGCGCAGAAUCUGUCUCUGCGCGUUUACCACCUAACUUGUUGUUCCUGAAUGAUAAAGGGCACAUAAUUUUUCUAUGCGCGUUUAUCCACUCAGCUUGCUGCUCUUGAAUGAUAAAGGGCGCAUAAUUCGUCUAUGCGCGUUUAUCACCCGAUUUGCGAAAUCUGAAUGGCAAAGGGCGCAGAAUUUGUCUAUGCGCGUUUACCACUCGACUCGCUACUCCUGAAUGAUAAAGGGCGUAGAAUUUGUCUAUGUGCGUUUAUCACUCAUCGAGCAUGCAGAUAACCGCAUGUCAUCGAGCCUGCCGCCUCUGGAUGACAAAAGGCACAGAAGACGACGUUAGUCUCUGUGUGCUAUCAUACUUUGAGUCUUAUAGAUAGCAAAAGUAUUUUAAAAGUGCGGGACCAAAUGGUUCCCGCAUGUCAUCGGGCCCGCCGCCUCUGGAUGAAAAAAGGCGCAAAAGACGAUGUUAGUCUCUGCGUGCUAUCAUGCUUUGAAUCUUAUAGAUAGCAAAAGAAAGUGCGGGACCAAAUGGUUCUCGCAUGUCAUCGGGCCCGCCGCCUCUGGAUGACAAAAGGCGCAGAAGACGACGUUAGUCUCUGCGUGCUAUCAUGCUUUGAGUCUUAUAGAUAGCAAAAGAAAGUGCGAGACCAAAUGGUUCUCGCAUGUCAUCGGGCCCGCCGCCUCUGGAUGACAAAAGGCGCAGAAGACAACGUUAGUCUCUGCGUGCUAUCAUGCUUUGAGUCUUACAGAUAGCAAAAAGUUUAUACGGAUAACCGCUAGGGUAUUUCUGCUUGUCGCAUGACUCCAAGGUCAGUAUGACAGAGAUUGUGGGGCGACUGACAAAAGCGAGGCUCUUGCUCCUACGUAUCCUCAAUGAGGAACUCAGACCUAUGUAGUUCUGGAUAACUUGUGAGACUAAAAAUAGUCUCGGUGUUUUCUUCACUAUAAUGCGAACAUGCUUUAGUAAAGAGACAAGAGUUCCAACUAAUCAGAACAACAUAUGCUUCUUGGAUGAAAAACAAUGUGUCUACCGGGGAAGGGGAGUAUGCUGAUGAAAUCCUCUCAUAACCAUAAAUGAGAUUUUGGAUGUUAGCAUUUCAUUUCCAAAUGACCAUUUAGAGGAAACACUGGGUUCAACAAAAAUAGAAGAAAAUCACUCAAAGUGUAUCAAUCUCACACAGGUAAGUGUUUCAUCCUAAUUCCGAACCAUAGAUAUGCCAUGACUUGAUUUUGAAAAUCAUUUCCUAUCAAAUCAAAGAUUACAUGCGUGAUCAUGGAUCAAUAGGACUUUAUCUUGGGAAUGGUUUGUUUCUUUAUGGGAAUUUUUGGCUUUGAGUGUUCUUGGCCUUUUCCUUUUCUGUUUUUGUUUAGUGUGAGGUGAACAAGCCACCGACGCACAGGAUUUUGGUUGGCAAUCAAAGGGAGAGGACCACUUUAGGUCGUGGUUUCCUUUCUUUUCAUGUUUACUUUGGUGACAAUUCUGUAUUGUUCAGAUAUUGUCUGGUCCAAAGACCUUUCUGCAUAUUUCUUUUGUUUUCUUCCGAUCCUUGAUCGGGAAUUUUCUUUCCUUUUUUUGCUUUCUCCCACUCUUCGAUUGAUUGGGAAUUUUCCCUUUUUGCUUUCUUCUGAUUCUUUUGAUCGGGAAUUUUCUCCUUUUCUCUUCUUUUCUUUUUCUUUUUUUUGUUUUCUUUUAAGGGCAAGGUUUAUAGUGAGUUGGGACUUUGGCUCAAGGCUUGUAGAACGGAUGGACAUGAUAUAAGUCAGGGUGUUGGUCUGGUUCAGGGAUAAAAGGGAAUGUCCCACAUGACACAAAUGCAACAAUGAUGAUUUGGAAAUUUUAUGCAAAACUUGUCGUGCAUGCACCUAUGUGGACACUCAAGUGUCGAAAUUUUUUUGGUCAUGUGAUGCUAGGGCUCAUAAUUCAUUUUCUCUACUUUAGUCAACCCAGUGUUUCCAAAAUAUGUUCUUUUAUCAAUUUGUGCAUUCAUCCGAGUCUAUUUUGGGUGUUCAAAAAACUUUCACAGCAUUUACCCUUCAAAUGUGUACACACAUUUUUUUUUUCAAAAACUAGCUAUGAUCAGCGAAUUUUUUCCUUUAAAUAAAAGUUGGAAAUUAUCUCUUUUCACGAGCAUGUUGUUUUUUUAGCUAGACAACUUUUUAUUCUUAUUAUUUUCUUUUUUUUAUCAUUUUUUUAUUUCUUUUUCUUGUUUGUUUUUGUUUUUUCCUUUUUUUUUCAUGAGGUAUUUUGCUACCUAAACAUACAUAUAUAUAUUUUGUGAGGUAUUUUUGCUAUAUACAUGCAUAUCCAAGGUAUCUUGCUACCUAAACAUAUAUAUAUAUAUAUAUAUAUAUAUAUAUAUAUAUAUAUAUAUAUAUAUAUAUAUAUAUAUUGGUGAGGUAUCUUUUUGCUACAUACAUGCAUAUCUAAGGUAUCUUGCUACCUAAACAUACAUAUAUAUAUAUAUUUUGUGAGGUAUGACUACCUUUCGAGCUUGUGCUUGUGUUAUUUAAAUUCCUAGGAUCAUGAGCAACUAGGCGCGUCCUACUACAAAAAGUUAUCAAAUAACAAGCAUAGAUUCAAAAGGUACUAGGUUGCCUCCUAGUAGCGCUUCUUUAACGUCUUGAGCUGGACCUAGUACUUUUGCUUACCUUUAACUUUGGACUUGGUUGCCUAUUGGUCGGCCAUGUGUCGUAGGCAAUACUCUAACCUUUUUGUGGAUGAGCUGAGGGGCUCUGGAGGUGGCGGCGGCCAUUUGUUGCCUGUUGCUGGCCAUCCCAGGCUGUUGUGGUGUCUCGCCCUCUGCCUGUCUGGGGGCGCAAUACUUCUUGAUGAAAGCUCAGUUAGUAGGAGGCCUGAUGACCUUGUUGGGGAUGACGGGCACUCCGUAGAACUGACAGAGGCCCGUAAUCAGAGCUGGAAACCCCAGGACCCUAUUGGACUUCUUUGGGUCCAUUGGGUGCCCUGCGUGCGCGAUCCUUGCAAACAAUGUAUGACAUCAAAAAUCAGUUAGAACCAUAUGCAUACUUACCUAUGUCGUAAUGGCAUGACCUUGCCGGGGGGUACGGGCACCCUGUAGGACUGAUAGAGGCCCAUAACCAAAGCUGGAGACCCAGGGCCCUGUUGGACUUCUUUGGGUCCACUAGGAGUCUUGUGGGCGCGACCGCUGCGAAUAGUAGAUGACAUUAGAAAUCAUUUGGAAAUAAUGCAUACCUACCUAUGUCAGGAUGACACAGACCAACUGAUACUUCCGCAGGGGGAGAUCGGCAUUACGGUCGUUGGGCAGAAUGUUGCUAAGUAGCAAUGUUAUACAUAUCUGUGUAAGAGUGGUCAUGUUGGUACGCACGAUCUGCACUUGUCUCUUUGCAGUGGCACGAGUGAAAUCUUGCCAUGGUAUGCAUAGUAACUACGUGAUAGCCUCCCUCUCUGGUUGUAUUCGCACAGUUGGCCCCCUCCAAUAUCAGGGAGGUGAGAACGCGUAGUCCUCUGAAGAAGAUAGGUACUAGUACCCAAGGGUCCACCCUUAUGAGAAAGCAAGAGAUCGACUCAUCGAGAGGGCCGGUCAUCCCAAAUUCACAAGAUUGGACAUUAGAUGUAGCAAAUCUAUGUAGUUAACAUGAUUUUUAGGGAUGCAGAUGCAUGCAACCUUUGUUGUGAAAUUUGGUAAAUGCGGACUUCAUAUGAAAUAAUGCAAUGUAAUGGAAAGUUGUACAAUGUUCAUGUCAUUCUUUCCUUGUUUUGUGAUUUUGAUUUUGAUUUAAUUAAAUUUUUUUUGGAAAACACAGAUUGAUUGUCCUUUUGGAAGAGGUGAUAAUUCAUGCAAGCUUAUCCUAUCUUUUGCAAAUCUUUCCGGGAACUCCCUCAGAGUAUAUGUUCCGUUUGAUUUAGUCACUUGACCAUUUUGGAGUGACGCUAAUGGAGCCGUUUGACGUUUAAUCAAUCCAUUGAAAUUCUAGGGUUUGUCCCCCCCUUUUUUUUGUUUAAACACAUCGACGGGUAAGAACUUUUGAUCUGCCCCUAUGUUCACUUGAGGCUCAUGCACGAUGCCCCUCAUUGCCCCAGUGUAAGGCUUUGAGGUACCAAUCGUUGUCUUUCGUCAUGACCUUGUAGAUGGGAACAUAUUGGGUGGGAACUUCUAAUCUGACCCUAGGUUCACUUGAGGUUCAUGCACGAUGCCCCUCAUUGCCCUAGUGUAGGGCUUUGAGGUAUCAAUCGUUGUCUUGUUUUCACAACCUUGUAGCAAGGAAGAACGAAAGAAGAGAUUGAUUCUCGAGAAAUAAUUGAAGGAUUUUUUUUCAGUUGAUGGAUUAAGUCAAAUGACUCCUAUUCUUGAUAACCCACUUCUCUCUAAAAAAGACAAACUUUCCAGAAUGAUAAAAUGAGGUCACAUGAACGUCUAUAUUUUUACUUGAAAACACAGUCAAUCAAAUUCUUUUUUUAUUUUUAUUUUGAAACUUAUUUUUGCUUUACUUGUCGUUUUACGGCACCCUCACCAAAUGUGUAGCACGAGUAAUUUCUAAUUGAACGGUCUUGGAAGUCCAAACUUAGGAGCGCAGGUCGCUUUGAGCAAACAAACCAACGGCUUACACUCACAUUCCGGUGGAAGUUGAAUAAGCAAAGAUGUGUUUGUGAGAGGAUGAGAGAGACAAGGAUGUCCAAUUAAUCCAUUUUAGCAUUGUAACUGUGGUUUACAAUAAUGGCAUAAACUUGGAAAUCCUGAUGAGUCAUUAGAGACACCUAACAACAGCUUUCAAAAUUGCCCCAUGUGUGGUGUCGCUUGUCAAUGUCGAGACCCAUACGCGAUUCUUCUCAAAUUUCAGCCAGCCCACAUCAAUUAGACUUUGCACCUUACGCUUCAGGGUCAUAUAAUGCUCAAUGGAAUGCCCCAGGGCUCCUCCAUGAUAAGCACACGUUGCGUUCGAGUCGUAUCCUUAGAAAAAUGGAGGUUGAGGAAACCUAGGAGGGGUUAUGGCUACCAUUGCAUUAUCAAGUAGAUAUGGGAGCAAGUUAGCAUAUGACACCGAAAUUUGGGGUGAAUCCUAUAGGCUUUUCGCUGCAAAAUUCAUUUCUUGGUUAGUGUUUUGGUUUGUGCUAAAGGUGGUGUUUAGCAUUGGUUGUGUGGUAGGUGGGUUUUGUGGUUGAUUUAGGGAUGGUCUUUGUGGAUAACUGGGUGGUAGGUAAGGAGAAGGGUUGUUAUUGGCUGAGUAAUGACAUUGUUGGGUUGGUGGGAAACUUGGCCGUAUAGGAAUGGCAGCCGCAGCAUGGGUUUGUUCUUCAUUCUCACCCUCUUUAUUUGCCCCAGUUUUCUCAUUCAUCCAAGCAGGAUGAUUAAAUUUGCCUCUUUUCAGACCCACUUUGAUCCUUUCGCUGGCGAAGACCAAAUCUGUAAAACUUGAAGAUGUGUAACCCACCAUUUUUCAUAGUAGAACACCGGUAAUGUGUCUACUAUCAUUGUGAUAAUCUCUUUCUCUAUUAUUGGGGGCGCUACUUGAGCUGCCAGAUCCCUCCACCUCUGGUCAUAUUCCUUGAAGGAUUCAUGCUCUUCUUUGCUCAUGUUCUAUAGUUGCAUCCUAUCCGAAGCCAUAUCAGAAUUGUACUGAUACUGCUUAACGAAGGCAACCAUUAGGUCCCUCCAAGAAUGGACUCGGGAAGGUUCCAAGUUAGCGUACCAGGUAAUAGCUACCCCAGUAAGACUUUCUUGGAAGAAAUGUAUCAGUAGUUCCUCAUCUUUUGCGUAUGCCCCCAUCUUCUGACAAUACAUCUUUAGAUGUUUCUUGGGGCAAGUAGUCCCCUUGUACUUGUCAAAGUCCGACACCUUGAACUUGGGAAUAACCAUGUUCGGGUACUAGGAACAACUCUUCUAGGUUAGCAAAGGCAUAAUCUUCGCCUCCUUCAAUGCCCUUGAGCCUUUCCUCUAUAUGAUCCAACUUUCCCUUUUCAGCCAUAGCAGGAGGGGCUCUUCCCAUCGCAAAAUGCAAGGGUUGUGGUUAUGGGCGAAACUGAGGGCCCUUCAAAGUGUUUGGCAUGGGUAUACCACCAACUGCUUGCCCUUCAGUGGCAUAUCCGAGGCAAGGCUCAAAGUCCGCUAGAUUGUGGUGGGGCAUUUCAUGUGUCUCCCCCACGGUUUAAAAGACAUGUGCAUGAUGAGGUUGUCGGCUUUCAAUGAGUAUGGGAGCGGAGUUAUUGACAUCCUCAUUGGGAAUGUAUGCCACAUUGGGUGGUGUAUAGUUAGGAGGCAAGCCAUACGGUGGGAAGGCAUGCUUGUUUUGAAUUUGCGCAUAAUGGGGGGCCGCCCGUACUUCCCAAAUCUUUGCCUACCAUAUCUAAGGUUGGAUGAUUCAUUUGGUUAAGGCCAGAUGGGGGCAUUGGGUUCACCUUAGCAAUAGCGCUGGUAGCGGCAACCGUAACCCCAUUGGCUUCCAUUAUCUUCUUCAUGCUCAUCAUGGCCUCCAUCAUUGUGGCCAUUUGCUCUUUCAUGGCCUCCAUGUCGGCCUUCAUUUGCUUCUGCGCCUCCUCUACUUUACCCAUUACUCUAGCUCUAGCACGGGUUUGGUAAGGGCACCCUAAAGCAUGUUCUUUUCUUUUUUAUAACAAUGAUUAAGUUCGUUUUUCUUUUUUCAAGGAAAGAAUGUAAUGAACAAUGCAACCAAUGAAAAGCAUGGAUGUAUGUGAAUGAUGCACAGUUGAAGUAUUGCGAAUUUUUAUGCAGGACAUGGGGUUGAAUCAAUUUAGAUUUUCAACAUGGUCCAUGACAUCUUUGUCAAGGUGAAACUGGAAGUAACAAGGACAUCAAUAGUCCUAAAUGUGUUUGGCAGUAGACGAAGCAGUGAUGUAACUCGAUUCAUCUUUUGCCCCAAUUUUUGCAAGAUGGUUACUUCCAUACUUCAACUUGACUUGAUGAACUUUUUUCGAAAAAGCAUGAGCUUAAUUCAACCCUAUAAUCCAAGGAAUGGCAAUUCUGAUUGCCAAUACUUCAACAACCUUUCAUAGGGAUGAAUGACUCAGGCAUACUUUAAGCUAUGCAUGGAAAAUGUAAUUAUGAAAUUGAGAUGCCUGAAGAAACAUCAUUUCCUAGUUAACCAUGCAUUAGGUACCAUGUUCACUCAUUUUGUUUUUAAGUGAAACGGGUUUAUGAUCCCAACAUGGUUGGCUCAUGAUCCCAACAUGGUUGGCAUCAUGAAUUUUCAUGCUUCCCUUUUUGUUUUUGUUUUGUAGAGGAAAAUGCAAGGAUCAUGCAUGAGCGAACAUGAAAACAAAAGGUAUGCAAUUUGUAGAACAAAAAGUAUGUUGAACGCAUAUGCAUGAUGAUGCAAUGACUCAUGCAAAAUGUGAGGCUGGAAUAUGAUAACGGACAAUUGCAGGAACGAUAUGUUCAUUAUGAUGCCAUGAAGAGAUGUUUAUGUGAUGCAUGAUAUGAAUGCAUGGUAGAGAUAAAAUGCGGGAGUGAUUUGAUUUGCACUGAUCUUUGGAGUAAAAACGCGGGAUAAACUCAUUUUAUUCAGAAAGUUUAUAACUAGUCAAGAUCUAAGCGACAAUACAAACUUCCUAGCGGUUUCUAAUUAUAUGAGCCAUUAAGUCUAUCAUAUGCUGACAAUAGCUGAGAAGUCCGUGGAUCUCCUUGGGGGCGGAGUAGGUGUCCGCCAUUGCUUUAGCCUUGGCUAGCAAUCGGGGAAGUUCUUGACUCUCGUUCAAGGUAAGAGCGAAUCGGUCCAUCCACAUUGUUGCUUCUUGACGUAACGAGUCGAUCACCCUUCCUCUAGCCUCCUUUUCUGCGUACACUCGGGCAUACUCGUCUGCCACUUUGUGCUCGUGGGCCAUGGCUAGAUUUAAUUCUUCUUGGUACUUGCUGACGAUAGCUAACAUGUUGGUCUCUGUCUCGCAUAACCACUGAGACAGGUUUCUUUUGGACUUUGAGCAAACCUUCAACUCAUCUUUCAAGAUCAAACUAUCUACUUAUGAUUGGUCCUUUUCCUCUCUUCGGAGUUUAAGCUCGCUAUUGUUGCCCCACAGAGCCCCUCGAAACUUGUUCCGACCGUGCUCUUCCCUACGAGCCCUCUUGGUUUCUUGUUCCAAGGCUUUCGUGUUAGCUAUAUUUAUAUCUCUCAGUUCGGCAUUUUCCUUUCGGAUUUUAAGAGCUGCUGAUUUGAACCUUUCUUUGACUGUUUGAGCUUGCUCGAGUUCUGUCCGAAGGGCCUGCACCUCUUCGUCUUCCUCCGGUGCCUCAACUUCCUCCCUUUAUGCGGUUCUCAAACUCAAGAGCCAAUCGAAACCUUGCACGUGGGCUCUCAACCACUUACGGUAGCCACCGAUGGGCCCAUUGUUACUGCCCCUGAGUUCUUUGUCCUUCUUUCGCACCACCUCCCAUGCCUUGCGGACCUUCUGAAGCAUCUCCACAUUGGUCUUAUUGAAACCUCGUGAAAUGACGGGCGCGAUCUCUUCCUCUAGUGGUGCCCCUCUCAUAGGAUAGCCAAGUUGUCUUAUAGCAAGAACGGGAUUGUAACUGAUGCAACCCCUCAUCCCCAUCAAGGGAACAUUCGGAAAUCCUCCACACAAAAUAAGAACUCCGGUUCUUCCUUCUUUCCAUCGAGGGAACCAGUUGAUAGACGCUCCUUCUUUGUUUGCUAAGAGUUGGUCCCAAUUUGCGCCUCCUUUCUCUAUGCAUGAAUGGUGACCUUCUAGCGGGCAAGCAUGCCUCACCUCUUGGUGAAAAAGGUGUGAAACCAACCAUAGAUAAAGAGCUGGAGUACAACAAACAAUCCUCGUACUGCUCUUCUCACAUCUUCGGCCGAAGGUGUCAUAUAGGUCGGCUAAUAUAGCGAUGUCGCACCCUACCCUUCGAUGGGAGGGCGACGCGUGACUCGUGGGAGCGUGUUCCAAGAAAGGAAUACAAGCGAAGUCGCCACCAACUUUUAUUUGAGGAAAACAUCAGAAAAACCAGAAAAGACGUGAUCUACGAACUUUAAGUGAAAGGUUCGAGAGUUGUAUUUAUGCACGGGGAAGGUAUUAGCACCCCACGCGUCCGUCAUAAGAGAUGGCAGCCUUUAAUUAAAUGUGCAAACAUGACUUCAAUUUUAUGUUCCCUUUUACGUCUUUAUUUCUUUUUAUAUUUUUUAUCUUUUUGCGGUCGACGAGGGUGUUUCCCUUGCUCCUACGUAUUCCUUAAUUGCGAUAAGGAAAUCAGACCUACGUAGUUCUUUGUGAACAAAGUGUUUGGUUAAGUUGUUUUUAUCCUUUUUGCAAAAAAGUGUUUUUAUUGAAUGAAAGGUCAUUUAAGGCGUUGGACCAUCAAACAAUCUUUCGAUUCUUUUGAAAAGAGAGAAGACAUUAAGGCAUUGGACCAUUUAACGAUCUCUUUAUUUUUGAAAGAGGUAAUAAAGUUACAUGUUGAUUUUAGGCCUUUAGAAAUCUACCCUUAACCAAUAAAAGCGGAAAAAACCACUUCAAGGCGUUUGGACCUUUGAAAAUGGCUUUUUAGGUGAUAACAAAAGUUUGGUUUGUAAAUUGAUUUUAGCCUUAGUUUCACUUUGGUUAUUAAUCGAUUCGAUUAAGAAAGAAAAAUCCCAACGAAAACAUCCGAUUGAUUUUUUUGUUCUAUUUUACUAAAAGAUAUUUUUGAUUAUUAUAUUAUUAUUUUACCUCUUUUUGGUUUCCAACGUGGUUACGGCAUGACCGAACGGUCGGAUUUCAUUUUAACAGAAAUUAAUGGAUAUUACAAUUCAAAUGAUCGGUGGAAAUUUAUUUUAUUUUUUGAUUAGGCGAGAAAAUAACUUAAGUAAAUGACUAAAGCACGUCAAAAGGGGGUACGAAAAGUAAAUUAAAUGAAAAUAAAAGCAUGUGAAAACAAAUGAGGACCACUAAGGGUACAUAGAAUGAAUUGAAAAGUUUGAUUUCGGGAACUUACCGAUUGAAGACCGAAGAACGAUGAAGAACGAACAAAGAACGUCGAAGAAUGGCUGAAAAUCUUCGCGAAAUCACCCACGGAAAUGUUACGGAAGCGCCUCGACUUGGAUUUUCUUCACGAAAAUAAUUUUUUUCACUAAUUUCAAGUGAUUCUCGAAUUACCAGAAGGGCUGAACAUUUUUUCCCUUCACUUCUCCCCCUAUUUAUAGGAAAAUGGGGGAGAAGCUUGCCACCCAGCUCGCCCAUGCGAGCUCAGCUCGCCUAGGUGAGCUAGGUUGCUUCCUCCAGAAGCAACCGCCUUCUGAAGGAAUUUUCUAGAAGGCCCAAGUUGGCCUGGUUGCUAUUUGCACCCCUAUUUUUACUAAAUACACCCCUUUCUCUUUUUUGGUGAUUCUUUUUUUCGUAAUGUUACGAAACUUUACGAAUUUCGGAACGAUGCUUGUUUUCUUUCCGUAAUGUUACGAAACCUUACGGAUUACGUAAUCAUCCCUUUUUUUCCUCCGGAACGUUACGAAACUUUACGGAUUGCGCACUAACACUUCCUCUUAAUUCCCGGCAUGUCACAGAACUUCACGGAUUGUGCUACAAUGCUUUCUUUUGACUUCCGGCAUGUCACGAAACUUCACGAAUUGCCUAACGAUGGGUGCCAAGUACCUCAAAGUGGUCAAACGAGGGUCGUAUCCCAACAACGGAUGGUCCCUGGACAAAAUUAGGGUAUGACAGUUGCCCCUCUUUACUUGUCUUUUAUUGGAGAUAAAAGGGAAGUAAAGAUAAGACACUAAUUUUGUUUGAGCGAAACAACAUUCAGCCAGUGAACCUCCCUGCCAGCGGAACCUGCAAAAAAUUGAAAAUGAUCAGUACCGACACAUCAUCCUGAUACUGUCGAAUUUGUUCCUCUCAGUUGAUACAAGACGCAGAAUGACCAUAAUUUGUCUCUGCGUUUUGUUGGAAACGAUCGAGCCUGGCCAGCGAGAUACAGAAUGACCAUAAUUUGUCUCUGCAUGCCACCGGACACGAUCGCCCGUUUUUGAAUGACAAAGGGCGCAAAAUUUGUCUCUGCGCGUUUAUCACCCAACUCGCGAAAUCUGAAUGACAAAGGGCGCAAAAUCCGUCUCCGCGCAUUUAUCAGCCGCCUCGCUGCUCCUGAAUGAUAAAGGGCGUAGAAUCUAUCUCUGCGUGUUUACCCACUCAGCUUGUUGUUCCUGAAUGAUAAAGGGCGCAGAAUCUGUCUCUGCGCGUUUACCCACUCAGCUUGUUGUUUCUGAAUGAUAAAGGGCACAAAAUCUGUCUCUGCGUGUUUACCCACUCAGCUUGUUUUUCCUGAAUGAUAAAGGGCGCAGAAUCUAUCUCUGCACGUUUACCCACUCAGCUUGUUGUUCCUGAAUGAUAAAGGGCACAGAAUCUGUCUCUGCGCGUUUACCCACUCAGGUUGCUAUCAUGCUUUGAGUCUUAUAGAUAGCAAAAGAAAUUUUUAACGGAUAACCACUCGGGUAUCUCCGCAUGUCAAGUGACUCCAGUGUCAGUAUGACAGAAAUUGUCUGCGCGGAAGAUGAUGUAAAUCUCCGCGUGUCAACGGGCUUGUCGGCCGCGAUUGACAAAGGUUGCAGAAGACGACGUUAGUCUCUAUGUGCUAUCAUGCUUUGAGUCUUAGAGAUAGCAAAAGAAAGUUUAAACGGAUAACCAGUCGGGUAUCUCCACAUGUCAAGUGACUCUAGUGUCAGUAUGACAGAAAUUGUCUGCGCGGAAGAUGACGUAAAUCUCCGCGUGUCAACGGACUUGUUGGCCGCGAUUGAUAAAGGGUGCAGAAGACGACGUUAGUCUCUGCGUGCUAUCAUGCUUUGAGUCUUAGAGAUAGCAAAAGAAAGUUUAAACGAAUAACCACUCGGGUAUCUCCACAUGCCAAGUGACUCCAGUGUCAGUAUGACAGAAAUUGUCUGCGUGGAAGAUGACGUAAAUCUCCGCGUGUCAACAGGCUUGUUGGUCACGAUUGACAAAGGGUGCAGAAGACGACGUUAGUCUCUGCGUGCUAUCAUGCUUUGAUUCUUAAAGAUAGCAAAAGAAGGUUUAAACGGAUAACCACUCGGGUAUCUCCGCAUGUCAAGUGACCCCAGUGUCAGUAUGACGAAAAUUGUGGGGGCGGCCGACAAAAGCAAGGCUCUUGCUCCUACGUAUCCUCAACGAGGAACUCAGACUUAUGUAGUUCUGGAUAACUUUUGAGACUAAAAAUAGUCUCGGUGUUUUCUUCACUAAAAUCACGAACAUGCUUUAGUAAAGAGAGAAAACUUUCAACUAAUCAGAGCAACAUAUGCUUUUGGGAUGAAAAACAAUGUGUCUACCAGGGAAGGGGAGUAUGCUGAUGAAAUCUUCUCAUAACCACAAAUGAGAUUUUGGAUGUUAGCAUUUCAUUUCUAAAUGACCAUUUAGAGGAAACACUGGGUUCAACAAAAAUAGAAGAAAAUCACUCAAAGUGUAUCAAUCUCACACAGGUAAGUGUUUCAUCCUAAUUCCGAACCAUAGGUAUGUCAUGACUUGAUUUUGCAAAUCAUUUCCUAUCAAAUGAAAGACUACAUGCAUGAUCAUGGAUCAAUAGGACUUUUUCUUGGGAAUGGGUUCAUUUUGGUGGGAAAUUUGGCUUUGAGUGUUUUUGGCCUUUUCUUUUCAGUUUUUGUUUAGCGCGAGGUGAACAAGUCACCGACGCACAGGAUUUUGGUUGGUAAGCAAAGGGAGAGGACCACUUUAGGUCGUGGUUUCUUUUCUUUUCAUGUUUUCUUGGUGACAAUUUUGUAUUGUUUAGAUAUUGAUUGGUCCAAAAACCUUUCUGCAUGUUUCUUCUAUUUUCUUCCGAUCUUUGAUCGGGGAUUUUCUUUCCUUUUUGCUUUCCCCCUUUCUUUGAUUGGGGAUUUUCUCUUUUUGCUUCCCUUUUUUUUGUUUUUUUUUCAAGGGCAAGGUUUAUGGUAAAUUGGGAUUUUGGCUCAAGGCUUGUAGCACGGCUGGAUAUGAUAUAUGUCAGGGUUUGGUUUGGUUCAAAGAUAAAAAGGGGAUGUCCCACAUUAUUUCCAUGACAUAAAUGCAAUAAUGAUGAUUUGGAAAUUUUAUGCAAAACUAGUCAUGCAUGGACCUAUGUGGACACUCAAGUGUCAAACUUUUAUGGUCAUGUGAUGCUAGGACUCAAGAUUCAUUUCCUCUAUUUUAGUCAACCCAGUGUUUCCAAAAAUAUACUCUUUUAUCAAUUUGUGCAUUCAUCCGAGUCUAUCUUGGGUGUUCGGAAAAAUUUUCACAGCAUUUACCCUUCAAAUUACACACACAUUUUUUUCAAAAACUGGUUAUGAUUAGUGAAUUCUUUCAAAGAAAAGUUGGAAAUUAUCUCUUUUCACAAGCAUGUUGUUUUUUAGCCAGACAACUUUUUAUUUUUAUCAUUUUCUUUUUUCCUUCUUUUUCUUUUCUUACUUACUCUCUUUUCCUUUUUCUCCCUUUUUUAUUUUUUAGUUAUUUAUCAUUUGUUCAUUUCCUCUUCUUUCUUUUUUUUCUCUUUUUCUCUCUGAAAAAGUCAUGCAGACGAGGGCGCACACUACCUACUCACGUCUAACCACGAGGUGAACGAGAAACGCAUGAAAAUGGUAAGUCGCAAAACGGUGACGAAAUAACUGAGAGCCAUAACGCCAAAAAUUUCUAACAAAAACGAGCAAUAAUGAUAGUAACGUUAGUAACCAUAUGAACAAAACAGAAAAUAGUAAUGUCAAUAGCAAUAUGGGCAAUCACAUAAAACGUUAAUAGCAAACUAAACAAAACAAAAACAGAUAUGUCAAAAGAUGUGGUGACCUCGGUCACGUGGCUCCACUCCCUCCCAAGAAAUCGAGCAAAUCCGUCAUCUCCUCGUCCAUGCGGGCCUCCUCUCCAUCGCCGGGAGCCUCUGCGGGCGCCUCCCUUGCAUGGGCCUCAGGCCAAUCUCCGGGCCAUGCGACCUCAGCCCUAAACUGAUCUGGAGUAGGGCACGCAAAAGAAGCGAAACCCUGGUGAUCGAGGCUGUACCCGAAUCAAAUAAACAUGAAAAUGCAGUAACUAGGGAGUGAUCCUAGGUCAUUUCCCAACGAGCAGUAACAAACCAAAUGUUCAUAAUAUACUUGCAGUAACAGUAACAAUAACGAUUGGGGGGGGGGGGGGUUUGUUUGUUUUGUGAUUAAAGGAGCAGAACAAGUAAACUGGAAUACGAAACUAAUAAUAUUAAAAAUGGGUUGUUUCCUCUGAUUCAGAAGCCAUUCUUUUAUCCUGGGUUAUGGAGAAUUCAUCCCUAACAGUAACCACUUAAUCCAACCCUAUUUCAAUUUACUAAGCGAAAAUCAACCUAGGGUUGUCAAUACGUGAUUAGGCACCACAUACACCAGUUAGCCCUUCGUCCAUUAAGCAUGAACGCAAGUUAGGCUCAGAGGCAAUUAAUCGAACACGAAGCGUGCAUUGAUUAAUGUUCACGAAUUUGGGUUAACUGGUGAAGGGAAAACUGCCAG